UAACUCCCUAUGGUUUCGCAUUUUCUCACUUUAGUACCAUUUGAUUUUAAGUGUAUCAAGUUAGUACUAUGUGGUUUUAUUUUUUUAUCAAGUUGGUACCCUAUGAUUUCAAUUUUCUCUUUUUAUUAUUCAUUUCGGAAUAUAUAAUUUAACGAAAUAUUAAACCACAAGAUACUAAAGUAAGAAAGUAUGAAACCGCAAGGUACUAACUUGAUACACUUGAAACCACAAGUACUAAAGUGAGAAAGUGCGAAACUACAUGGAGGUAUUUAAAGUUUUUCCUAAUUUUAAAUACAGCUAUUGUGGUUUCGCAUUUCCUCACUUUAGUACACUGUAGUUUAAAAUAUAUCAAUUUAGUAUCCUAUAUUUUAUUUUAUUUUUUUCGUCAGUCUCAUUAUUAACUUUUCGUUAAAUCAUAUAUAGAAAACCUUAGAUAUCCCACUUAUAGUUUAUCGAAUAUUUAUUUUAGUAUCCUUUUAACUCUAUCAGUGAUUUAAUGAAAAAAAUUAGUGAAGUGGAUAAUAAAAAGAAAAAAAAUAAAAUUACAGAAAUACGAAAGUGAUACACUUUAAAUUACAAUAAAUUAAAAUAAAAAAAAGUGUAAAAUUAUAUAGGUGGUAUUUAAAUUUUUUCUUUUUUUUAGCAAACUCUUGUUUUACCUAGUCGCCGUAGAUGGAAAGCAGGAUUUCGGAGUUCGGAGUGCAGAAAAGAGGAGGCUCCGCCAAACCGCGAAAUGGUGUGGGAAAACGAGAAGGGCAGAAAGGCCGUUGAGAGGGCAGGUGCUGCCAAACUACUCUUCAACAGUACAACUUUUCUUACCAAUAAUUUUAUAUUUUAAUUAAUUGAACUACAAUGAGGACUCGGUAAAGCAGGAUCUACGUACAUGGUCAAAAUUUGUUGAACUCAGAAUGUGGGCCGUUCGAUUUCCUGUGUUUCAAUCUGCAUUUUGCAAGUGCAAUUAUAACUUGGAAGGUAAUUAGGAAAAUUCUAGAAUGCAACGGGUAUAUUGGGAACGUGGCGUAACAAAUCAAUCAAAAAUUUUCUUUUAAAGAUAUAUGUCCCAUCAUGAUUAUAAAAAAAUAUUUUUAUUGUAUUUUUGUUUGAAAAGAAGAAAGGUGAUUGGUUUGUUAUUUAUGAUGUGGUGUAAGUGUGAUAGUGUAGAAUUCCUCGGUAAUUAGAGGGAUAGUCUCAAAGUGCAGUUGAAAUUGCAGUAAAUUUAUAGAUAGCUUUAACUGUUGCAGUUGAGCCUCCUCGCACAGUUUUGAUUGCGGCAGUUGAAUUCAAAUACAUUAAAAUAAACGCUAGAUUUGAAUCUAUAUAUAAUUACAAUUGCGAUAUAGUUGCAACUAUGUGCAACCAAACAGUCCGUGAUAUAUAUGCUGUAUUGGUUAAGAGAAUAAUUCUACGUAGUGAUAUAAACUUACAUGUUUGCUCACCAAAGUAUAUAACAAUACUUAGAGCAAGUAGCAAAGGGCUUGGUGGUUAGUAUCCGAGACCCAAGUUCGAAUCCUAGUUGAUUCACAUUUCCAACUAAGUUUAUUUCUAAAUAAAAUAAACGAAGCAGAUAGCGUGCUACCUAUCUCUCAAAAAAAAAAAAAAAUUCCAUCAAAGCACUUAGGGCGUGUUUGGUUUGAAGUCGGAGUCGGAAUCAGAAUCGGAAUCAAAAUAAGCUAGAAUCGGAAUCAAAAUGACUCAUUACCUAAUUAUGUUUGGUUCAUCACCUGAAUCGGAAUCGGAAUAAAUCAUUCUCAUUGUCGGUGUUUGGUUCAGGUGGAUAUAAAAAACAUAAUCAAAUUAAUAUACUAAUAUUAUCUUUAUAAUAUAUUAAUUUAAAUUCAAAUUAAAAAUUAAAUAUUAAAAAUUUAUAUCAAAAUUUUGAAAUAUAUGUCAAAAUUUUAAAUAUUUUUAUUUAAAAAUUAAAUUUUGAAGUUGAGUAGAUAAUUCAAAAUAUGAAUAUAUUUUAUUUAUUAAUUCAAACUUAAAAUUAAAUUUAAAUUUUAAUUUGAAUCCAUAAAUUUAUUUUAAGUUGAAAUAAAAAUUGAAUAAAAUUUUAUAUAAAUUAAAAUUAUUUUAAAUUCAAAUUCAUAGUUAGAUUGAAAUACUUGAUAAAUUUUAAUUUAAGUUCAAAUUAAAAUUUAAAAUUAUAUAUUUAAUUUUUAAAUUUUAACUCAUAUUUUAAUUAAAAUAGUUGAAAAAAUAAAUUUAAUCCAAAUAAAUAUCAUUCCGUUAGGAUUCAACUUCCAAUCCGGCCUCCUAAGCCGGAUUGAAAAAAAAGAUGAUUGGGGGAUUCCCAUUCCACUCGGGAAUUGGAAUCAGAAUGGAACCCUGGAGGCCAAAUACCCACAAACAGAUUCACCCGUUCCGAUUCCGAUUCCGAUUCCAUGGUGAAAAAGAAGCGAAGCAAACACGCCCUUAAUAUAUUUCUAUAUACUGUAUUUAUAAGUAUAUUGAAUUAUAAUAAUUUAUAAUCCGUUUAAAAUAUUACAAUAAAGCUUUUGAAAAUCCCUAAUUUAGACAUCAAAUGAAUGCAAAAAUAUUGCAAUAAAACUUUUAAGGAAUGAAAAAGAAAAAUAAAGGUCCCACAAAAUAUAUGUGGGAUCUGAAAGGUGUGGGCAUAGAGGGGGUUUUUUUUUUUUUUUGUUAAUUUGGUUACAAGAGUUUUUAUUUAGAAGGCUUAGGUUUUAAUUGUUAAUUGAGGAUUUGACUUAAUUGGGACACUUAAAUAUAGAUCAAGUUGUUGUCAUCAUCAUUUUAUAAUAAUAAAUUCUGGGGACUAUGGAAUGCAAAUUGGAUCUUGUCAUGUGUGGAGAAGAGUACAAUAAAAUACCAAAAUGAUAUAAUUAUUACAGGUAAUAAAUAUUAUAAGCACCUCGUUUGUCCAUAUCAUAUUUAUAAAAUAAAAUCAAAUUUUGAAUAGAACAUAAAUAGACCUGGCACCACAACAAACAAUGUGUUCAAAUCCCCUUUCCUGUUUGCCAAAGUUGCAAGAGAUUUGAGUUAUUUUUUAUCCAUAUAUAUUAUUAUAGAGUUUUGAUUUGUUCAUAAUUUGGAGGAUCAAAUUGUCUGAUGUUUGUGUUUUUUUUUUAGCGAUCUUUAUAGGCGACAAAAAAAAUAAAAAAAAAGAUAAUAGAGACGAAGUUUAGCAUCACUAAUAAAAGAUUUAAAAUAGAAGGAUUUAAGUAUGACUUUAAUAUAUUACAAUUAUGAAGAUUAAUUUUAUAAUAAAUGAUUCAGAAAUAAUCACAGCGGAUUUUAUUUUCUAAUAAGAAACUGAAUUUAGCUAUAAAAGUGAGGCAACUAAGCAUCGGGAGAAAACAGAUAGAAAAGAAUAGAAGACAAAAACAAGAAGUAAAAACUAGUAGAUAGUAGCCCCCCCCCCAAAAAAAAAAGAAAGAUAUUUGGGUUGGUCGAUUGCACGUUUGCAGAAUUGUUUUACUUGGUGUUAUCCUGCUACAUCUUCACAACACACCUAACUCUUCCGACUGCUUACAAAGGGUUCAGGCUUUUCUAAUUGAAGAUCGUGUUAUUUCUAUCAAACCAAAUUAUCCACCAGCUAGUCACUAGAAUAGCCAACUGCUUAUCCGCAUCCUGAGUGGGACCCCUCUUCGAAACAUGGUCUCAGAAUACUUUGACAUUCCUUACAUUUGAUGAUUCAGUCAUAUUCUUUAAGCACGGCACGAUCAUGAAUCGACAAUACACACAUCCCACAAGCAAGUGGUCUAUAGGCUUCGAUGCGCUUGCACAGAGAACACACGUCUGAUCCCCCGACCACCCUCUCUUUAUGAGAUUGUCCUUCCAAAGAAUGCUUUUUUGUAGGAUUAACCACAGAAUACUUUAAUUUUCAAGGAUACUUUAAGCGUCGAUAUGUGCAACUAAGGGGUCUCUGAGACUGAGUCCUCCAUCGCUAAGCAUAUUGUAUUUGUACGUCGACUUGACAGAGAACUUGUUCGUCUUCUCCUAGCGCCAGCAAACCACAUCUGGCCUGCUAUGUAAGCAAUACUCAUCAAUUCGAUCCUUGAGCAUUUGUACCCUACAGUUGGUGGCUUAGGAGGUUGAGACUUUGUUUUGAAUUGUUAAAACAUUAUUAGUGAAUGAUCAACUAUGGAUCCUUUCAAGACUAAGUAGUUGUUAGCAUUCAUUAAUUAAUUCAUUUAUUAUAAAAGAUAAAAGAUAUGUGCACUUACGAAAAAAAAAAAAAAAAAAUUGACUGGAUCUUUCCACGUGAGGAGAAAAAGAUAUUAAGUCUUCAAAGGAAAGGUACGAAUUGCUUGCUUUUGACUUUUCAUUUAAAAGAAUUAAAAAAAGGAAAAGUAAAAAGAAAUUGAAAAAAAUAAAAAAAGAGCAGAUAAAUGUGAAUUGUUCAAAUGAAUCAUGGUACCCUUUGAAGAGGUUUCUAAAUUUUUCUCUACAAUUCCAUUUAAACAUUCUAUUAUUUUGAUUUCACUAUACACGUCAAAUGAAUUGAUAUCGAAAGAUUUGGUGAGUAUUUUUUUUUAUUACUAGAAUUCAAAAAAAAAAAAACUUUUUAUAUCUUAAAAGAAAGAAUUAUAAUUCUUGGAUGAAAAAAAAAACUGACACAUGACAGUAGAUCGGAACUCCUCAAUGAGACGUCAUUGGAAAGAUCUCCACUGAAAUUUUUUUCUAAUAAAAACAAAAAUAGUAGAAUUCUAAAAUUUCUAUUAUGACAAACAGGUGGUAAAAAAUUAGAGAGAUAAAGUUUCAUGUCCCGUUAACUCCGGAUGACUACAAUAUAAAGAUAAAAAUAAAAUUCCUAAAGUUAAAUGGACCUAAAGUCCACACAAUAAUUAAUUGGAGCUACCCCAUAACAAAACAUGGGUAUGAACCUUGUGAGGUCGGAAUUGUAGGUAUUUUGCGAUUGAUCGUUUAGGUAAUUACAGUAUCAGAGCCAAUGAAGCACAUUAUCACUACUGUAGCUACUGAUAUUGAUAUCGCAACCUACGUCUGGAAAGCCUCGACUAAUUGGCGAAAACCGACCUCAUUAUCAGUAUAUGACUGCUCCAUCUAUCAUACAUCAGCUCAUUGGCGCGAACCAUUUCGCAUCCGGAUUUUGCCGCCGUGCAGGGAACGAUGUUAUGCAGAGAACAGCCUCUUUAAAUUUUGGGUCCCACUUUGAUUUUUUUGUUAGUUUUGAUUGGAACGGAUAUUACUUGUUACAUUGGGUGUUCUGCAUAUUGGCUCUACUUCGUCAUACAGACGUAUAUUUGUAGACUAAUACAUAACACUCGUUUAAUUACUCUUACUUUUUUAACUAGACGGUGAAUAUAUGUGUGACGACUGACGAACGCACUGGCGUAGGCGCACAUGUUUACUGUCUAGGCCAGCAAACUUAUCUUUUUGACAAAAAAAAAGGUUUUUAAUUAGAAAAGGAUAUUUAAAAAUAAUUCAAAUGUAGUGGUGGAUAUACGCCAUUUACCGAGAAUUAUUAUUCCUAUUCAGAAAUAUUUUUGAUAAAUCGAAAUAGUUAUCAAGCUCCUAUAUAAUAGUUAAAGAUAUGUAAAUUAAUAUCAUGCUCUUAUUAAACUAUUUCAUUAUAAUUAUCAAUGUAUGCAUAUAAAUAUACCUCUCAUGUCUCAUAAUUUCUCACCUAUUGAGUAGUAACCAUGGACACUCUUCUCUUGGUCUUCACUCUCUUGCUCUCCUCUGUACUAUGCUAUUUAUUUUUUUUCUCUAAAAAGAGAAGUGGCGCGCUUCGUCUUCCGCCGGGCCCAAAGGGCUGGCCCAUUUUGGGCAACUUGCUGCAGCUCGGCCCAAAGCCCCACCACACUCUCCACGCCCUCUCCAAGGCCCACGGCCCGCUCUUCCGCCUCCGGUUUGGCUUCGUCGAUGUCGUCGUCGCAUCCUCCGCCGCCGUCGCCACCGAGUUCCUGAAAGUCCAUGACGCCAACUUCUCCAACCGGCCCCCCAACUCCGGUGCUGAGCAUACCACUUACAACUAUCAAGUAGGCAGUUUGUUCUUUAAAAGCUUAACUAUCACGAUUUUAGCGUUUUUGUUCACAAAGUCCGUGCGGCACCCGCCUUCCUACUCGAAAAUAGACAAGUUUAGCUCCUUAUUAUUAGCCUGGACCUCUACGUCCUACGACGAAAUAUGCAAAAAGAAGAAAAGAGAGAGAGGCAGAAGUUCCCAAAAAGCUAAGCACUCCACUAUUUAGAAAAAUAGCACUACAAUACACAACUCCUCUUAUGUCUCUUACCUUCUACUCUUUGGCCUAAGCCAUCCCUACAAUUUAUAGACUCUUAGAUAUAAUAAAUCUUGCCUACACUAACUCAUCAUUAAACACACAUUAAAGUACACAUUAACUCACCCACUAUCACAUUGUAAUGAGCCCUCGUGAAUGCCUAAUGAAUGUUUAGUGAUUCCAAGAGUUGCCCAUGACCUUGGGUUUCCGCUGGCGGUUUCGGAGUCAUUAAAUCCAGCAGUUACUUGACCCCUUUGUCUUCCAUAAUAGCGGCUGAUUUUUGGCAUCCUUUACAGCCCGCUCCGCUAACGAAGUUAGACCAGGGAUUUAGCUGGAUUGAAUAAUCACUAAGUCCCUGAUAUUAAGUUCUAAAUAAUCUUAUAUCCUAUAAACCAAAGUUAUUAGAGAACGGUAUUUUAAUAAAUAUGUAGUGGGAUAAUAAUGUAACCCGCAGUAUCAAGAUGUUAACCACACUAGUAAAUAAAUGUAAUAUAUCUAAAUUAUCCACAAUCAAGAUAUGCAAAAUUAGAAUAAAUGAAGUGGAAAGAGAAAAUUCCAAGUACAAUAACAACAACAUAAAAGAAUUUACAUAGUUCACCCAAAUCAGGUUACAUCCAUGGACAUGCAGAGAUCAAAUUUAUUAUUAAAUAAGAAGAUUACAAAAUUUGAUUAGAGAUUAUUACUCUAUUACAAUGGACUUGCAACAUUAUAAUUGAAAAAAAAAAAUUUUCUUACUAUACCUUCUUUGAAUCACCAUCCAAAUCCAUAAAACCUAUUUUGAAAUGUCUCUUAAAUUUUUCCAAUCAACUGUAAAAAUUUUGAAUCAAGCAAGAAGACCAAGAGAGCUCAUUCUUCAACUCUCUUUACACCCCUCUUCUCUAUAUGAAGAAAAAGGAACCCUUAGAGAGUAAAAUGAGAACUCUCUACCAAAAUCUAAUGAGUUAUUGAACCAAACUCGAAAUAAAUCAAAUAGGUUAAUAAGUGAAUUUGAUAUUACUGACCCAACAAUAUAUAUAUAUAUAUAUAUAUAUAUAUAUAUAUAUAUAUAUAUAUAUAUAUAUAUAUAUAUAUAUAUAUAUAUAUAUAUAUAUAUGUGUGUGUUAUAUGGUGGUAUGUAAUGAGGGUGGGUUUUGUCGCAAAUCGGCGAUCAAAUCGGGCGAAACGAAAUGGUGGGUUUGUUGUCUCCGUUGUGCUGAUCGUAUUGGUGUGAUCCGUUCGCAAAUCUGACGAACGGAUCUGCGGAUAUCACGCGUUGAUCGAGGUGAGGUCGGCGAUGGCAAAAAGGUAAUUUUGCAAAAGUGAGACAUUUUAUGUACCGAAUCGCGCGAGAUCGGACGUGGUGGUGCGUACGUGCAAAAUACACUUGCUGGCAGGGGACCUAGUGAAAAAUAGUGGUCUAUGGUGGACUAAACCGCAAUUAGACCAUAGUAUAUGUAUUUAGUGGUUAGGGUUCCCAUGCCUAACCCUAACCCUAACCCUAACAACCCCUACUGCCUCUAGCUGCGCCCCCUAGCCUCCAUCACCUCCCAGCAUUCCACUGUGCGCACCUCGACCUCCGACGAGCUCGUCCUUCCGCCGGAGAUGACCUACACAACCUUCCACCACCACCACACCACCACAUUGUGGUUGUUGAUCCCAGGAAGUUAUCCCAAGCCUUGGCGAAAGCAUCCAUUGGCCGAGACUCCCCCUCCGACGCCGUCACCGGCCAUCCCCGCCGUCAGCGCACGCCGCCGGUGCUGCCUGUGCGAGCCGCGGCCAGCCUGGGCCAACCGAGGCCGAGUUGAUUUCAGCUCGGGGCCCGUUAGUUGGAGUCGCCCUAGCUUGGCCGCCCCGACUUCCUCCGGCCUCCAGCGACCUCCGGNCAAAUAAAAUAUUCGCGUAUUCAAAAGAAACUUAAAUGCUUUUCAUAUUCUUUUCAAGAGGACCAGUAUUUUGAUGAGUUAGAGUAACGCGGUUGAUUUUACAGGACUUGUUCACGGCGGGAACCGACACCUCAACGAGCACAAUCGAAUGGGCCGUGGCAGAGCUAAUCCGCCACCCGAAAAUCCUCAAACAGGCCCAGGUCGAGCUCGACUCCAUCAUCGGCCCGGCCCGGCUUGUGUCGGAGUCCGACCUCCCGAACCUCCCCACACUGCAGGCCAUCAUCAAAGAGUCGUUGCGGCUCCACCCUUCGGCGCCGCUGUCCCUCCCCCGGAUGGCCGCCGAGGGGUGCGAGAUCAACGGCUACUGCAUCCCUAAGCAAGCCACACUCCUAGUGAACAUCUGGGCCAUUGGUCGCGACCCGGCCAUCUGGCCCGAUCCACUCGAAUUCAGCCCGGCCCGAUUUCUCCCGGGCGGGGCGAACGAAAGUGUGGAUGUUAAAGGGAGUGACUUUGAGCUCAUACCGUUCGGGGCCGGACGGAGGAUUUGCGCGGGUUUGAGCUUGGGACUGCGUAUGGUGCAGCUCAUGACGGCUACGCUUGUGCAUGCCUUUGAUUGGACUCUACCGGACGGGCAACCGUCGGAGAAGUUGGACAUGGAAGAGGCCUAUGGGCUCACACUGCAACGGGCCGUGCCCUUAGUGGUCCGCCCCGUGCCCCGACUCCUGCAGAAAGCAUAUGAAUCUAUUGAGAAAUAACCAGGGAUUUAGAAAUCAUUCCGUGGCUCCUGCAUGUUCAAGCGUCAAAGAGUUAUAUAUAUAUAUAUAUAUAUAUAUAUAUAUAUAAAGAUAGAUAGAUAGAUAGAUAGAUAUAAUUAGCAUUUUCGAGAUAAGCUCUGCUUGGCUUAAAAGUUCAGUGUAUUUUCUUCUGAUCCUUGAUGUCUUAAGCUGACAAAAUACAAUAAAUAGGUCGAUAACACACAUUAAUCGGAUUUUAGCGAGACACAGCACAUCAAUUUCAAUAUAUUUUACCUUGCAGAAUGACAAUGCAAUGAAAGUUCUUUUCGCUUUGGAAAACAAUUUCUUUUGGAGUAAACAUCUUUGCGGAGUCCCCGCAUUUCCAACUUUGUUGAUGCCAUUCCCUUUAGCUCAAUUUUCGGUUGUUAUGAUACACGUUGUUCGCCGGUAACUACAAAGGCGCUACAAUUCGCAGAUCCAUAAGUUAUCAAAUAUUUGCGUUUGACAAUUCGAGCAGAACAAAUGUCGAACUAUAUAUCAAUAAUAAGCGCAUACUAAAAUAGUAAAAAUAAAGACAUACUAAAAUAAUUAAAUUAAACUAGAAAAAUACUAACAAUAAGCGCAUAAUAUCUUUGUCAUGACAUAUAUUACAACAAUUGAAUCAGUGGGAUUGGCAAAAUAGACAUUUAAUUUAGCCAUAUUUUGAGUAGAAUAUUAGAAAUAUGGACGGUUUUUAUAAUUUUACUAAAUGUGAAGAGUAUAUUUGAUAUUGAACUCCAAUGAGGGGCGGGCGGUGGAGCGAGUUGAUGAGGGAUGGCCACAUGCUGCCAAACUACUCUCCAACAGUACAACUUUUCUUACCAAUAAUUUUAUAUUUUAAUUAAUUGAACUCCAAUGAGGACUCCUAAAGCAGGAUCUACGUUCGAUUUUCUGCGUUUCAAUCUGCAUUUUGUAAGUGUAAUUAUAACUUAGAAGGUAAUUAGGGAGAUAGUCGCAAAGUGCUGCAGUUGAAAUUGCAGUAAAUUUAGGCGUAGCUUCAACUGUUGCAGUUGAGCCUCCUCGCACAGUUAUACCUGUGGCAGUUGAAUUCAAAAACAUUAAAAUAAAUGCUAGAUUUGAAUCUAUAUAUAGUUAUAAUUGGGAUACAGUUACAAAUAUGUACAAUCAAACAGUCCGUAAUAUAUAUACUGUAUUGGUUAAGAAAGUGAUUCUACGUAGUGAUAUAAACUUACAUAUUUGUUCACCAAAGUAAGUAUGUAACAAUAUUCGGUCAAAACACUUAAUAUAUAUAUUUCUAUAGUAUGACUUUAAUAUAUUAUAAUUAUGAAGAUUAAUUUUAUAGUAAAUGAUUUAGAAAUAAUCACAAUGGAUUUUAUUUUCGAAAUGUGGCUAUAGUUGGUGGGUUAGGAGGUUGCUUAAUUAUUUGCUAAUCAAAGCAUAGAAUUAAGUAACAUUGUUGAGACUUUGUUUUGAAUUGUUAAAACAUUAUUAGUGAAUGAUCAGCUUUGGAUCCUUCAAGAGCAAGUCGUUGUUAGAAUUCAUUAAUUCAUUUAUUACGAAAGACAAAAAAUGUGUAUUUACAAAAAAAAGAAAAAAAGAAAAAUUGACUGGAUCUUUUCACGUGAGGAGAAAAAGAUAUUACGUCUUCAAAGGAAAGGUACGAAUUGCUUGCUUUUGACUUUUCAUAGAAAAAAAUUAAAAAAGGAAAAGUAAAAAAAAUUAAAAAAAGUAGAUAAUCAUGGUUACCCUUUAAAGAAGUUUCUAAACUUUUCUCUACAAUACUAUUAAAACAUUUGAUUAUUUUUACCGACCAUUUUUAUAGCAAGUGACAAAGAACUUUAUGGUUAGUACCCGAGACCCAAGUUCAAAUCCAAGUUGAUUCACGUUUUCAGCUAAGUUUAUUUCUAAAUGAAAUAAACGAAGCGGGUAGCGUGCUAUCUAUCUCUAAAAAAAAAAACAUUCGAUUAUUUUGAUUUACGCUAUUCACAUCAAAUGAAUUGAAAUCGAAAGAUUUGGCGAGUAUUUUUUACUACUAGAAUUUUUUAAAAAAACCUUUUUAUAUCUUAGAAGAAAGAAUUAUAAUUUUUAGAUAAAAAAAAAGAUGACACAUAACAGCAGAUCAGGACUUCUCAACAAGACGUCAUUGGGAAAAGAUCCCCACUGAAAUUUUUUUCUAAUAAAAAUGAAAAUAGAGGAAUUUUAAAAUUUCUAUUAUGACAAACAGGUCAUUAACUCGGAGUUGUAGGUAUAAUGGGAUUGAUCGAUUACGUAAGUAUGGUAUCACAGCCAAUCGAGCACGGCAUCACUGCCAUAACUACGGAUACUGAUAUCGCAACCUACAUCCAGCUGAAGGCCUUUGACUAAUCGAUGGGAACGGUUCCCAGCAUCAGUGAGUGGCCACUCCCAUCUAUCACACAUCAAGUCAUUGGCCUGAAAUGUUGAGGGAACAAUUUUAUGAUGGGAACGGAACAACCUCUUCAAAUUUUGGAUUCCACUUUGAUUAUUUUAUCAAUUUUGAUUUGAACGAAUAUUAUUUAUUUUUAUUUGAAAUAAAUUUUUGUUGAAAAUAUGAAUUAAUUAAAAUUCGAAUUUGAAAUUUGGAUACCAACUAUCUGGUCCUUUGCCAAUGUAUGACUUUUAUUCUUUUGCUGGAUGGUGAACAUAUGCUGACAAACGCACCGCGUAGGCACGCAUGCUCACCAUCUAGGUCAUCAAACUUUCUUUUCUGACCCCCAAAAAAAAAAAGGUUUUUAAUUAGAAAAAGACAUUUAAGAAUAAUCCAAACGUAGUCGUGGAUCGAUAUAUGUCAUUUAAUUUGAUUAUUAAUUAAGUUGCCAAGAAUUAUUAUUACUAUUUUAGAAAUAUUUUUGAUAAAUCGAGUUGUUGUUAUUAAGCUCCUAUUUAUUAAGCUAUUUCAUUAUAAAUUGUCAAUGAAUGCAUUUAAAUAUAUCUCUCAUAAUUUCUCACCUAUUGAGUAGUAACCAUGGCUCCUCUACUCUUCUUCACUCUCUUGCUCUCCUCUAUACUAUGCUAUUUAUUUUUUUCCUCUAAAAAGAGAAGUCGCGGGCUUCGUCUUCCGCCGGGCCCAAAGGGCUGGCCGAUUUUGGGCAACUUGCCGCAGCUCGGCCCAAAACCCCACCACACUCUCCAUGCCCUCUCGAAGGCCCACGGCCCGCUCUUUCACCUCCGAUUCGGCUUUGUCGAUGUCGUCGUUGCAUCCUCCGCCGCCGUCGCCGCCCAGUUCCUCAAAGUCCAUGAUGCCAACUUCUCCAACCGGCCCCCCAACUCCAGCGCCGAGCAUACCACCUACAACUAUCAGGCACAACUAAAAUAACCGCUCACCUCUCAAAACUUAAAAUCUUAAGUUAUUAGAGAACGGUAUUUUAAUAUUUUUUUUUUAUAUAUGUACUGAAUGAGGCCAGGACCUUGUCUUUGGCCCCUACGGCCCGCGGUGGCGUGCGCUCCGCAAGCUCUGCGCCCUCCAUCUCUUCUCUACAAAGGCCCUCGAGGACCUCCGGCCGAUCAGGGCCCACGAGGUAAACCUCAUGGUCCGGUUCCUCGCCAAAGGCGGCGGCGGCGGCCCGACGCCGAUCAAUCUUGGCGAGACGGUGAACAUGUGCGUGACGAACGCGUUGGCGCGGGCGCUGGUGGGGCGGCCGGUGUUCGAGGAGCGGGCGGAGGCGAGGGAGUUCAAAGAGAUGGUGGCGGAGCUGCUGCGGCUCGGGGGUGUGUUCAACAUCGCCGACUUCGUGCCGGGGAUCCGGUGGAUGGACCCGCAGGGGGUGGAGAGGAAGAUAAAGCGGGUGCACAGAAGGUGUCAACCGAUCAGUUAUUUUACAUAGCAUCAGAGCAGAAGGUUCUAAAUUUUUUAAAGUUCGUGACUCGAUAAUAAAAUUUUAGAACAAAACGGUUGUUUCGCAGGUACGACGAGUUUCUCAACCGGCUCAUCACGGAGCGGCGGCGCGAGGAGGAGGCUACAAGGGGCAGGGAUUUUCUCGGCGUGCUGCUGAGCUUGACAGAUCAGGAGCCGGCAGAAGGACAGGAGGAGGGGAGGAUUACAGAAACGAAUGUCAAAGCGUUGCUUCUCGUAAGUAAUUACCAAUUAAGUUACACUAUAUAUAUUUUAUGACUAAAAUAUCAAAUUUUUUUUAUAAAUAUCAAACAAAACAUUAAUAUAUUCUUUUUUCUGAGAGAAAAAUAGCGCACUAUCAGCUUUGUUUAUUUUUUUACAAAAUUAAUUUAGCUGAAAAUAUAAAUUAACUAGAGUUCGAACUUGAAAUCUCGGAUAUCAACCACCAAACUCAUUGUUACUUAUACGGGAGAUGAUUGGUAAAAAUAAUAAUCAUAUAGUAAAGCAGAGACUUAAAUGCAUUUCGUAUUCCUUUCAAGAAGCCCACCAGUAUUUUAAUGAGUGAGAGUAACGUGGUUGAUUUUACAGAACUUGUUCACAGCGGGAACCGACACCUCAUCGACCACAAUUGAAUGGGCCGUGGCGGAGCUAAUCCGCCACCCGGAAAUCCUCAAACAGGCCCAGCUCGAGCUGGACUCAGUCGUCGGCCCGGCCCGGCUCGUGUCGGAGUCCGACCUCCCGAACCUCCCCACACUGCAGGCCAUCGUCAAAGAGACAUUGCGGCUCCACCCGUCGACGCCGCUUUCCCUUCCCCAGAUGGCCGCCGAGGGGUGCGAGAUCAACGGCUACUACAUUCCUAAGAAGGCCACACUCCUCGUGAACAUCUGGGCCAUCGGUCGGGACCCAUCUGUAUGGCCCGAUCCACUCAAAUUCAGCCCGGCCCGAUUUCUCCCGGGCGGUUCGAACGAAAAUGUGGACCUCAAGGGGAGUGACUUUGAGCUCAUUCCGUUCGGGGCCGGACGAAGGAUAUGUGUGGGUUUAAGUUUGGGCCUGCGUAUGGUCCAGUUCGUGACGGCCACGCUCGUACAUGCCUUUGAUUGGACUCUACCGGAUGGGCAACCGCCGGAGAAGUUGGAUAUGGAAGAAGCCUACAGGCUUGCACUGCACCGCACCGUGCCCUUAUCGGUGCACCCCGUGCCGCGACUCCUGCCAGAAGCAUAUGAAUCUAUUGAGAAAUAAUCAGGGAUUUAGAAAUCAUUCCGUGGCUCCUACAUGUUCAAGUGUCAAAGAGUUUUAUAUUUAGUGUCAAAGAGAUUAUGUAUAACUAGAUUACUGUACUAUCAAUAGUACUAAGUUAUUGAUGCUAUUAUAUUUGUAACUCUUGAAUGAAGGGCUGUGCGGUUAGAAUGAUAGUGAUUCCUUAGGGUUGAAUAGGUGGUUGCUUGAAUUGUAUGAUCUAACAUGUGGAAAUGGUUAAAGGAGUAGAUUCAGCAAAGAAAACUCGAUAACACCAAGCGUUAAGCAAAAUUUUCUCUCUCUUUUUCUCUCUCUCUCUCUCUCUCUCUUUCUCUCUCUCUCUCUCUCUCUCUCUAUAUAUAUAUAUAUAUAUAUAUAUAAAAUUAGCAUUUUCGAGCUUGCGUAUGUCACAAACUAACAAGCGAAGGUUGAGAACAAUCACAAAUAGCAUGUUUUGAUCUCGCUAACAACUUUAUCAUUCAUUGACUCUGCAUCCUUUCAGUUCUUUGGGUAUCCAAAAAACUUUAAUGCCUGCACCAUAGAUUGCAGUAUCUGACACAACGCUUGAGGUAAAAUAGGAUUCAACAAUGAAAAUUGACUCUGCAUCCUUUCAGUUCUUUGGGUAUCCAGAAAACUUUAAUGCCUGCACCAUAGAUUGCAGUAUCUGACACAAUGCUUGAGCUAAAAUAGCAUUCAACAAUGAAAAUAGCAUCAAUUCCUUAAGAGAUUAUGUCUUUAUCAAUGUUGCGAUCAUAUUUAUACAUAUAAAGGAAAUAAUAGUGGCUAUAUAUAUGCAACAUAACCAAGCUGGUGCCUUUAUUAAGACACCAACGUUCACACAAACGAACCCAAAAACAUUUCUCCACCGUUAUAUCUCGCCUUCCAAAUCGAUGUCUUGUAAUCUUCAUCAUGGGCAGUUUAUUGUGAACCUUCAGAAUUCUCAAUAGUAGCUAAGAAAUGUUUCGCCAUAGUUACAAUACUUUCCUUGCUUAGCCAAAAAAGAUGCUCCAAAUCGACUUAAUCUGUGACCAAGAAAAGAGUUCGGUGGACGCUCUCUGCUGAAACUGAGAACAAAUUAAUCAAACAUCUCUUCAGGUAGAUAGAGUAACCUCUUCCACAAUGACCUAUGCACAACGGAUUUCCGUAAAAUGAAUGAUUUAUUAUUGAUUUUAUUCCUCAUCUUAUGACAAUGAAUAACCAGCAGUGAGACCGAGUUUCCUUCGUGCCAGAAAUAGGUGCAUCUCCAACUUCAUUUCGAAUCUCUGCUACUCGAGGUGAUCAUGGGGUCGAAUCGACAUGAAUAUUGCAGCGCACAGCCGAAGCCGCUGCUCACUUCCCUUAGGUUCCAAGGGUCGUAUUUCCAUUCCUCUAGUCUUUGCCUUGUAACGCCGCCACGCGAGCUGUAUGUUAACCGCCGCCCACGUUCUCCAAUUCGAUGAGUAGUACCUCGCUGUCCUCUUCAGCUUCUCAUUCGCAAAUUUGUACCUGAAGUGCUCGGUUAUGUAUCGUAGGUGGUGCGCGUCCAAUCCAAAGGCCUCUGUGGGCUCCACACACACAAAGGUGGCGGACGAAGCAGGGAGGCGGUCGACGAACGGGCGGCGUAGGCACCAUGAGAGGAGCUCAUCUCCUAGAAAGUUACCCGGGCCUAGCGUGCAGGUGGCUACCAAACCUUUGCUAAGGCAUUGACUGCUUUUCAAGUGCCCGCGAACUACGAAUAUCAUUCUUUGCACCGGGUCUCCUUCUCUGAUCACCUUUUUCCCGAAAAAUAAAAGACAAAUAGAAAGAAAUAGGUACUGGAAAUGUCAGGAGAGAUAAAUGGUAUUGUAUUUUACAGUUAAGGAACAGUUGAUGGUGUUAGCAAGAUUAUAAUUAAUAUGACUUUUUCCUGUUCCGUACCUUUUCGUCCUUGGAGUAGACGAGGUGUUUAACUCUGUCGCAAAUGUUGUCGAGGAUAAGGUCAUCCAAAUGUUGGAACAAGGGAACCUGAGAAAUGAACAGAUAAAAAUCACAUUACUGUCGGCUAAUCCCAACACGUUUUUUUUCAACAUUCUUCCCUUAAAUUACACGUCUAGAUCAACCGACCAUAAAAGGCAGCAUAUACGAGAGGAUUGUGCAUCGAUUUAGAGAAACAAUGAGCUACUAGCGCUGAUAAAUAAACUCAUUUAUCAGAGGCUUGAAUCUUCGUCGCUCUCUAGACAAAUGCUGACAACUCAAUAACUCGACUUGAAUUCUGCUGUUCUUGAUGUUUCUGCUUUGUUCUUGACUGCUGUAUUCCGUAACCAUGGGACAAUCUAUGGUGCGUUUAAAUUCCGUUAUUCUUACUAUACAUUUUGUUGUCAUAUGAAGAAUGGAGUACCUGUUUUACAAGAUCGAGGCAGAGAUGGCGCCUGAUGUCUCUCCUUAACCCUUCAGGCAACUCCUUGAUGAUCUCCAUUUCAUCCUCGCCCCUCAUCGAGGCCCAUCUCUGCCGUUCGUACUGUCGAACUCUUUGCCUUAAGCGCGAGGGCAGUUGCCUCCGCUUCAUCCACCAUUCUAAGUCUCGACAUCUUAGCUGCAUCUUUCUCUUUCUCGCCAUGACCGCAUGCAAGAAUACCUAUGCGUGAAAGCCAUAGCAAGUAAGAUUAAUUUAAAGCAUAUAUAAAUGUGAGCAUGUACGCUCAAUCUUACUGUUCGUAACAAGGAAUUUCUAUAUAUAAAUACCUGAAUGUUUCCGAUCAACAAAGUGAAGAGCAUUAAUCCACUAAGCACGAUCGCAAUACUGAAUAUCACUUCUAGCCAUUGACUUGUAGGUUCAAGAUUAUUCCCAAAAGUGCUGUAGCAAAAUUGACUUGUUUUGUUAGUAUUACCUACGAAAGUUUAUUUUCUGUGCAAUUCAUACCAUUUUACCUGAGUGUCAUGAGGCCCCAGAAUAUAGGAUAAAGAAUCUUAACAGCAAGUGAGUUGCUGGAAAUAACAGGGAGAGCAGCGUCGUAUAUUCCGAACGGAAACGGCCCGUUCCCGUUUAAACAAGUUUGGAGGUUCUGAUUUGCCGCCAUCGUCGCAUUAUUCUGCUGCACUUCUUUGGAGCAGACCGAUGACAUGAGUUCACAGUUGUUGUUCGUCUCGCAUUGGCUUCGUAUGCACGAGGCGACGCGCUGGAUCGCAAGAAUAUACCAACAACCGCCCGCUACCUGAAAUUCAUUAUGAAAAUUAAAAAGGUGGUAGAUGUUUAUUUGGAGGCCUUUGUACAGAGAUUCCAUUAAUGCUAAACUAGAAGCAACUAGUUGGCUAAAAAGUUAAGAAACAUAUAGGAUUCAUCAAAAGUCAAUUUCAACUUAAAGCAUUAGUUUAAUUAAUCAGAGCGCGAAGUUAUAGUGCCUGAUUCUCUGAUUACAAGAAGAAUAUUAAGCUGUGAUCAACUACGUACGCAUCGGGAUUGCAAAAAGUUAGCAUUGUAAAUCUGACUUCUGAAGGCAGUUAGUGGAUAUAUAGGACAUAUAUACUCACAUGGGAGGCAAUGAAGUAGGCGAUGAGGUUGAGGCCGAAACCCCACCAGAUGGUCCCGAAGAUGUAGCCAGUAACCUUCUGCAUGCUCCGCAUCAUGCAGAUGCUGUGGUACACCUUUGGCAGGUACUGGAACAGGAAAACCGACAAGAGGAUCGUCGCGAUUUGCUUGAUCUCCUCUUCUCUCAACAGCUUCGGCACCACCAGCCAAAAAACAAUCUGCAUUCACAUGAACAAUGUAGACAUGAACAUCGGAGGGUGAGAGAUUGAUUGAUGAGAAGUGUGAUCAAAUAUCUAGAAUACGAUACUAUACUCAACAGUCUUCUAUUUUUUUUUUUGAGAGAGAUAGGUAGCACGCUAUCCGCUUCGUUUAUUUCAUUUAGAAAUAAAUUUAGUUGAAAAUGUGAAUCAACUAGAAUUCGAACUUGAGACCUCGGGUACCAACCACCAAGUCCUUUGCCACUUGCUCUAGGGACGAUCACUCAGUAACAAUUAUUAUUUUUUAAUAACAUAAAUCACCAUACAAGUAAAAUAUAUUAUCUUAGCAAAAUAUGCCAAAAAAAAGUGGAGAAAUUAGAGGCAUUGUGAUAGUUGAUGUUUGUACCGUCCAGCAAUCAAACGAACCGGACUGGACUUGAACCGGGGAAUCCAAAGUUACACCGGUUCAGUUAAACCCGAAGUUAAUUUGGGAUUCUCAGAUUGGGAGUUUCCUGUGCGAAGUUCGAACCCGAACAGCGGAUCUGCGCGGCGCAUUAACGCGCCUCACAUAAAACGCGAGCCGUUCGUCGCGAAACCGACGGUACCAGAUGCACGUGACGUGGCAGUCCGUUUCACGGACGGAAAUGCCUCUCCCCGCUCGGACGUCGUACACCGAGCAAUUGUUCUCCUCCACGUAUCGUCCUUUUUCCCCUCAUGUGGGGCCCACGUCACUUUGUCUCGAUAUCUUACAGAUGACAAUCACCGUACGUAACCCGUACAUGCUCACCAGACUAAAUUAUUGCGCGAAUCUGGUCCACGCAACAGCCGUGGACCGCUUGGAGCACCAGCAGCCUCAUCACCAACCACCACUGUACGUACUAACGAUUCACCCUUCUCUACAAUACUAUAUUAUAUUAUUAAUAAGGGUAAACUUCAAAUACCAACCCAGUAGUUUUGCACUUUCUCACCUUAUUAGCAUAUGCUUUAAAGUGUAUCAAGUUAGUAUCCUGUAAUUUUAUUUUUAUCUUUUCGUCAGCUUCUCCGUUAAUAUUUCGUUAAAUUAUAUACAAAAAUCUUCAGAUACCCCACCAAGAUUUAUCGAAUAUUUACUUUAGUACCCUUUAGUUUUAACUUUGUCACUGAUUUAACAAAAAAAAUUAGGAGAAUCGACAAUAAAAAGAUAAAAAUAAAACCAUAAGGCACUAAAUUGAUACACUUUGAACCACAUGGUACUAAAGUAAGAAAGUCUGAAACCACGGGGGUGGUAUUUGAAGUUUUUCCUAUUAUUAAUAAGAGUUGAAAUUUGGAAUUUAUGAUAUAAUAAUAGUGUUUAGAAUUUAAUAAUAGUAUUUUAGAUUUAGUUUUUAAUGAUUAGAGUGUAUAUAUAUAUAUAUAUAUAUAUAUAUAUAUAUAUAUAUAUAUAUAUAUAUAAAAUAAUUUUAAAAUUAUCCAUUCAUAUGAUUUAAUAAUAAAAAGGUUUGUAAUUUUUGAUUUAAUUAAGUCACUUAGGAUAGGUUUUUUAGUUAGCAGACGCGAAGUAGUAAAAAGGAAACUAAACAGAUAAAAUUAAGGUCACUAAAAUAAUUAAAGAAAACUAUAAAAAUACAAAUAUGAAAUGAACACAUAGUAGUAUAAAUCAAAGCUAUAAUAAAGAGCUAUUAAACUAUAUCUAAAAUGAUGUAAAAAUAUAAAAAUAAACCUGACAAAAUGGUAUCAAACUGUUACAUCCGUAACUAAGUAAACAAAAUGAAAAUAUACUAAAUAAACAAAAUGAAAUGAAGGCGUAGUAAAAUAGUAAAAAUAAAGAUAUAUUAAAAUAAUUAAAUUAAACUAGAAAAAUACUAAUAAUAAGCGCAUAAUAUCUUUGCCAUGACAAAUAUUACAACAAUUGAAUCAGCGGGAUUGGCAAAAUAGAUAUUUUAGCCAAAUUUUGAAUAGAAUAUUAGAAAUAUGGACGAUUUUUAUAAUUUUACUAAAUUUGAAGACUAUCUUUGAUAUUGAUCAUUUUUAAAAAGUUUUUAUAUAAUUAGGGAUGGGAGUAACGCCACUUAUCUUAAAAAUUAAAAAUGCUUUUAUCCUCAAACUAUGAGACGCUUGACACUUCAGCCCUCAAAUUUAUAUUUAUUAUUAUAAUUUCUGGUUCAAAAUUUCUAAAUUGUUUCAAUUGAGUCUGAUAAUAUUUUUUUUUUGACUAAAUAUUGAUAAAUUGCUGACAAAAUGUCGACGAAUUAUUGUUGUAUCAUCAAUCCCGACAUUAUUAUAUCACUUCUAUAUUAGUUUAUCAACAUUUCGUAAAAAAAGGACUGCGGUACUUAAUUUUACGAUUCAAAAAGUUUGAACUAGAAAUUACAAUGAGUUAAAGUUUUAGAAUUAAAAUGUUAAGUAUCCCAUAAUUUGAAAACCAAAAGUGUAAUGUACUCAGAUGAUAAAUAAUAUUUUUCUAAGAGAAAAUUAGCACGCUACCCGCUUUAUUUAUUUCGUUUAAAAAUAAAUUUAGUUGAAAAUAUUAGGACUUUGUUUAAAUCUUUUUAAACUACUAAACUGAAAUAUAAUAAUGAUCAUUAAUUUUAUAUUAAAAAUUGUUAAUCUAAAGAUAACAACAAUUAAUAACUCUAAUUAUUUAAUUAUUAUUUAAAAUUAAUAUAUAAUUUUAUAAUUUUUAAUCUAAUGUAUAUUAGAUUACCAAAAAUUCAGAUUUAUUUGGUUUAUUUACUCUGCCCAGUUCUUAAAUUAUAGAAUCGAAUAGAACCAAAUUAUAGGGAAAAUCAGGGCUAAUUAAACUUAUUAAUUUGGGUGGGUUUGAUUCGGUGACUCAAUUUGGACCCACUAAUGCUCACCUGUAGGCCUUUCGUUGGCUAGAGCACAUGAAGGGGUUGGUACCGACCAGGUCCCGGAGACUUCGAAUUGCCUACGGAUAUUAAACCGAAAUAAUAAUAAUAAAUUAAUAAUAAUAAGGACGAGACACUCAUUGAGGUUUUUGGAGUGUACGAUGGAGAGGAGACCUUCGUAUCCGACCUAAUCUCCCACAUGCCCCAUGCCAUUUAUUUUCGAAAGCGACGUAUACAUAAUUAUUGCACAUUAUUGAAGAUUUAGGUUUAGUGGCCACAGUGCCAAGUUAUAUUAUUUGAAGAAUUAAAUUGCCUUCGCGGCUCUGUUUCAUCAUCAUUAAUUAGGCAAUUUAAUCGUAGCAUUGUAGCGCGAGAAAAAUAUUAGCAAAUUAUACAGGAACCAAGUUUGUCACGUAGAGUAGUUUUUCAUUUUUUUUUUUUUUUUCUUUCUAAGUAGAGAGUUUACCGUAUUCUUUUUGAACAUUAUACAUAUAUAUAAUUUAAUAGUGCUCAGGUACAAUACUAUAAAUAGUACCAAACACUUUAUACUAUCUAGUUUUCUGCCGUUAGAUUAGUAUGGUUUACCGUAUUCUUUUUGAACAUUAUACAUAUAUAUAAUUUAAUAGUGCUCAGGUACAAUACUAUAAAUAGUACCAAACACUUUAUACUAUCUAGUUUUCUGCCGUUAGAUUUACUCUUUUGACCAUUUUCAUCCGUUAAACCAUACUAUUCUAUCAACCCCCAUUCAAUUCUAAGGUAACAGCACCAUCCUAACCGCACACUAUUUCAUUUACGGGUGAAAACUUAAUAGCACCAGUGACUUAGAUGCUAUUAACAGUAUUCUAGUCUAGUUCAUAAUUAACAAUUAUACUAAGUAAAUUAUCGUGCUCUCUUGAAAGAAAAAAAAAGUUUCAAUAUAAAAUAAUCGAGAGUUUUCUUCGUCUUCACUACACAAAAUUUUAGUUUUGUGGGGGCGUGGAGCCCCGCAAAUAUUAAAUCAGAAAUCAUUCUAAUUUUGUGAUCAUAUGUGCUAAAUAAGGCGUUUCAGUUUUUAGUGUUGAAACUAGUUCUAGAAAUUCUGACAAAGGCGAAGAAAAUGUUGUCUCCAUUAUUUUUUUAUUUUUUGGUUUAACCCUGAUCAAUAGAAAAUAAAGGAUUGCAGAGUAGUGCACAGGAUCUUAUAAGCUCGUGUUGUCUUAAGCUUGCUAAUCUUUUUGGCUCUAUCUAAAACGACGAAAUCAGGAAAAGAUCCAUCCCAUCAAUCAUGCAUUUUAGCAGUCUCAUUGUGCUGUCCGAGACAUAAACAUUUGGUUUAUAACUUAUUAAUUGACAGGGACCCAAAAAAGAUACCAAAUUAGAAACGCCCACCUUGGUAUAUCAUUGUCAAUUCUAGGGUUUACACAAAACUCCAAAAAGUGUGAGGUGAGCUUAGAAUGCUGUUGUGAUCUUCCACUUAAUUAAUCAGAUGCCACCUAUGAUGUUUGAAAUAGUUAAACUAGUUGUUCGUGUUCUAUCAAUUAUAUUUUACAGUAAAUUACAUAGCAUUUUGCAAUUUAAUUCAAAAGGAAUAAAUUGAUGUGUAUGUUUUUGAACCAUCACCAAAUUGAGUCGCGGAGAGUGGUCCCAGAGAGAGCAAAAUUGGACUAAACUACUAAGACUCUUUAAUGGCCAAAAAAGAAUUAAAAAAUGUGAAGCUACUUUCGGAAAUAGUUAUCUUUUCACACAAAUUAUCAGCCAUGCCUAAGAUUUUCUGUUUUUUCUUUUUUUAAAAUGAAACAUACCAUGUGGCUUUUACAACAUAAAAAACUUACAAAUCUGACUCAAUCCAAGAUCUGACUCAAUCCAAGAUACGACGAAAGAUAUCUAAUCACCUUACCCUAUUUCCACCAUGGAAAUCCGAUCUUUACUUAUUUUUGUGUUUUAAUUUGUAGUCUUUAUUAUUUAGCUUUAACGUAGUAGAUAUUUGGUCGCGUUGGUGUCAACAAUAUUUUUAACGAUAAAAAAAUAUUAAAACAAAUAAUAAAAAAUAUAUAUAAUUAUAAAAAAACAUGGUAGACGGGCAUAAAAAUUAAAAAUCGAAUAAAGGAGGGGAAUGAGACAAUUGUUAUCCAUGUUAAAUAGUUACGAAUUAUUUUUUACACUUCUGCCAGAUUAUUAUUUUAUUCGCAUGAUAUUGACUACUACGAGGUUACAGUUUUUAAAAUAAUUUUUCAGGUAUUCCACAUGGCAUCGAACGGCCACGUCAGGUGACGGAUGUGAAACAACCGUUGUACUCUAAAAGCUUAAACUGUUAGGGAACGGUGGUGUUUAAAUAUUUUUAAACAUUUUUAUAUUUAACACUCCCUCUCACGUAUGGGCUCGAGACUUUUUAGUCGGCCCAUGACGUGAGCUUGAAUUAAAUGGGAGGAAAUUAAUAUGCUAGGAGUCUGGCGUGACUCGAACUCAGGACCUCCUGCUCUAAUACCAUGUGAAACAACCGUUGUACUCUAAAAAUUUAAGCUGUUAUAGAACGGUGUUUAAACACUUUUAUAUUUAACAGCGACCCACGGUAAUAGACAAUUCCAUGAUAAGGCCUUAGAAUUUAUUGUUAAGAAAAUGCUAAUGGUACAUUCUUCUCAGAGUAUAAAUUUUAUAUUUAAGUGUUGAUAAUUUUUUUAAUUUUAGAUUUUAAAAAAUAGUAGAUAAGUAUGUAAAUAUCUUCCCUAAUAAAAGAUCUGUGAGAGGGUAAUUUACAUUCUUAUAUAGAAUGUAUGAUCGCGCUUAAUUAUUAUUUGGCUCGACAAAAUCGGCAUAAAAUAUAGCAUCCUAUCUUCCACGAAACAGCUUAUAUAUAUGGGUUGUCAUAUUUAUGCCAUUUUAUUCUCCUUAGGGCCCCCAAUUUAAUUAAUAAUAACUAACAAAUAAUUAAUAAAAUAAAAUGAUAAUUCAUACUAGAGGGCAAAUAUACAUUUCAAUUACACCUACUGAGUACCUAAAAUAUCUCUUGGAUCAUGCAACAAUAGGGGCCUACGAUAAGAGGCCAAUAUUGUCUUUGGAUUCAAUAGUCCAAGAUUUGAAUUUAAGGGCUAAGAAAUCAUUAGCAUCAAGAUCUUGGUAUCAUUGAUGGUAUCUAACUCAAUAUAUUAUAGAGUCGGACUAAUAUAAUAUAUAAUUAAAAGAAAUGUAGCAUUUUACCACCUCUAUUUUUUUAAGUGAACUACGGUAAAAAUGUGAAAAUAUUAAAUUUUGAACCUGAAACAUCCAUACCAGUCUGAUCUUUUCGUCACUUACUUACAUCAAGGAGAGACUGUCUCUCUCUCUAACACUUGGUGCUAUCGAUAGUAUUCCAGUCGGACUCUCUCUCUCUCUCUAUAUAUAUAUAUAUACACACACACUAAUAGGUUAGAAACAUAAAUUACACUUGUUCCUUUCUUAUAAUAAGUUCUUAAACCCCUAAUUUGCCUGAAGAUUAUCGGCUAAAUUACAAAAAAACUACUAUAAAUACCACUUUUCACUUUUCUUCAUGAUUUUUAAAAAUUUAUAUUUUGCCCUAUUAAAAUUUCAAAAAUAUUUUUAAAUGGGUACAACGUUAAUGUAGCAGGCAAAAUAAUCAAAUUAUUCUUACUUCUUCUAUUAAAAAAAUAAUAUUUUAAUAUAUUUUGAAGGACAUUUUAGGUAUAAAUUAUAAAAAAUUAAUGAAAUAAUAAUGAAACUGUGGCGGAGACAAACUCAAUAAUUUGAAAUAUUGAUGGGGUAAAAAUAUAUAAGUUUUUUAAAAAUUAGAGAAAAAAAAUAAAAAAAAAUAUUUAUAAGCUAGUUUUCUGUAAUUUAGCCAAGCUUUUAGUUCUACCACAAAUGAGACAAUUAGAGAGGAUGUUAAUGAAAAACUAAUUAGUAUUUCUUCAAGUGGAUUUACUUAAUAAUAUGUUGCUAUUUAUCAAAACCAUAUAUAUAUAUAUAUAUAGAGAGAGAGAGAGAGAGUUAGGCUCCUAUGCUUUUGAAAGUACGGGAGCUUCCGUACUUGUAAGUUGUUUUCAAUAAUGGGACAUCCGAUUCGGCGAUCGGUUCCGUUAGAUAUGAUUUACGCUGUUGGAGCUACCUAGAAACCAAAUUUCAUAAUUUUUUGAUUUCGUUUGUCUAAUAAACGAGUAGUCUCAAAAUGAAUACGAGCCUAACUCUAUAUGAGUAAGUCUUCUGUACUUUCGAAAGUACGGAGACCUCAGUGCUUGUAAGUUGUUUUCGAUGAUAAGAAAUCCAAGUCGACGAUCGGCUCCAUUAAAUAUAAUUUAUCCUAUUUGAACUAUUUCGAAACCAAAUUUUAUAAUUUUUUGAUAUCAUUUACCAAGCGAUCAAAAGGUUUCAAAAAUGACUAUUUUAAUGAUCGAUGUAGCACGUUUUUAAGUUUAACGGUAUAGAAGUAUUCAAAUUAGAUGAAAAUUUAAUAGAAAAUUCUACUUAACAUCAAUAGUAAGACCAAUACUUCCGAUUUAAAACUUACAAGUACGGAAGCUCCCGUACGCUCGAAAGCAUAGGAGUCUACCUCUCUCUCUCUCUCUCUCUAUAUAUAUAUAUUGUAAUUAGAGGAGAACCGGUAAAGAGUUUGAUGGUUGGUACAUUCGAAAUUUCAAGAUGGAAAUCUAGUUAUUUCACAUUUUAAGCUAAAUUUAUUUUUUUUAAAAAUAAAGAAAUAAUUUUUUCUCAAAAUAAUAAUAAUUAUAAUAUGGCCCUGACACAUCGGUUAGCUAGAUAAAUUUUAAAAUUGGAAGAAGCGAAUCCCAAUCAUAUCUUAAUUGACCUGCUACUGUUUUACCUGUUAUCUCUAUCAAACAAGUGAACAACAAGUACUGCUUACGGACACUUCCAUCGGGGGGAAAAAAUAAAACAAAAAAACAAAAUAGAAAAACUAGAAGUGUCAAACAUGUACAGUACUUCAACUAAAGCUGAUUGGAUAGUAGGAUUGAUUAUAAUUAUUAUGUGCUUAGAAUUUAACAUAGGAUUCUGAUUGUUGAACUGCGUAAGUUGUGCAUGUGAUGUACCGUGCACCCACCCAGAUAGGAGGGUGGAAGGUAAUAAUUAGUGGAAUACAUUCUCUUAUUAGCGAAAGUCCUGUACGGUGAUGUAGAUAAUUUGCGUGAUUUAAAGAAAAAUUAAAAUUAAUGCAGCAAAUUUAAAUUUAAAAUUUGAAAUUUAAAAUUUAAAGUGAGGUAGGUAGAAGAGAGAGAGAGAGAGAGAGAGAGAGCGAGAGAGCUGACCUGGGGGAAGGGGAGGACGACGAAGAGGUCGAACCAGAAGCCGGUGGGGGAGCGGAGGUAGUGCGCGGCGAUGGCGCGGGGGUCCCACACCAGCUUGCCGCACCCGACGACCAGCGACUCCCGCGACACGUACGCGAGCCGCAGCUGCACCCACACGUGCACCACGUGCGCCGCGUCCGCCAGCGUCCGCACCGCCGCCGCCGCCGCCCCCAUCCCCUCGUCCACCCCCAGCCCCAACCCCAACCCUAACCCUAACCCUGACCCUGACCCUCCCCCGCACGAUCGCGCCCCCACGGCGUAGAAGAAGAGCGGGUCCGCCGCGAGCGCCGCGGCGCGCGCGAGGAGGAGGCCGCGGUUCCACCGCUGCACCCCGGGGCUCCGCGGGUCGAGCACCGACCCGAACACCCACCGCUCCCUCCCCGAUCGUCGAUCCCCCCCCGCCGCCGCCGCCGCCGCCGCCGCCCCGUCGCCGCCGGUGGCGUGGCUCUGGAUCGGGAUCAGCGACGAUCCGGCGCUCGCCUCCCACGCGGGCGCGUGCACGCGGUCGCACGUCGUCGAGUGGAACGCCGGCGCCCCCGGCUGCGUGCACGCGUAGCACUCCACCGCCGCCGCCGCCGCGGCCCCCUCGUCUCCGCCGCCGCCGCCGCUGGGGCGGCGGAGACUGGGGAUCCACCGCCUCACGAUCCGAGUCCACCUUAAAUAGAGAGAGGGGAUUUGAAAUUUGAAAAAAGAAAAGGGGAAUUGCGAUGCUGUGAGGUUACCAGAUCAAGCUUACCAGGGGGAAGUGGGCGAGGAGGCGGGGGCGGAGGCGGAGGAGGGGUCGGCGGCGGGGGAGCCAUUGGAGGCGGUGAGGGCACCGGAGGAGGGGGCGGAGGAGGAGAGCAUCUGGGCUCGGCCGAACGAGGGGUGAUCGCCGCCGAGGAGCGAGAGAUCGGACGACGAGGAGCUCAUCGCUCUCCUCUCUCUCUCCCUCUCUCUCUCUCUAUCUCUCUAGCUCUAGGAGGAGGAGGAGGAGGAGGAGGAGGGGUUUGGCUCUUGUCUCUUGGGGGAGAGGUGGAGCUAAUAAGCAGAGCAAGUGUUUUAAUAAAGGAAAAAAGGUGUGGUUCGGAGCCACAGCGGAUGAUACUGCGGGGUUCGGCUCCACGUCACCACAUGCCACGUGGCAGGGUGUGACAUGUACAUGUAGGUAACGAACGUGGCCUUGCGCUUCUUCUUAUUGCCGAGUUAUAUUACACACAUCGAUCUCCUCUCUCUCUCUCUCUCUCUCUCUCUCUCUCUUUCUCUCGAUCCUGUGUGGGGGAGAGAGCGAGAGAGAGAGUGAGUGGGGUGGUGAACCGUGAACGCAUGGAGAAGAUGGUCGAUGAUAAUUGAUGAGGACGGCGAAUUAUUUGUUUCUGUCAGAGGUUAAUUAUAACCUACCGGACAAAAAAUUCUAUUAUUAGUCCCCAUCCACUUUUACCACCCCUACAAAGAGAGAGAGAGAGAGAGAGAGAGAGAGAGAGAGAGAGGGAGGGGUUCUCUUGCUACAUUUGCUUUCAACAACAGUACUUUACUUUACCAACGGUCUCUUGUGUCUAUAGUGUAAAUGAUAAAGGGCUUAAUAAUUAGUACCCGAAUCUUCAAAUUUGAAUUCUAGUUGAUUUAUAUUUCUAAUUAGUAAAUAAACGAAGCGGAUAGAAUGCUACCUGUUGAGUCAAUUAGUCGCGAACAGGUAGUACACCGAUAUUCCAUCUAAAGAUGGCAAUCUUGCUGUACGCCGGGAGUAUUGGAACAGUUUUUAAGGAAUGAACCGCCGCGCAAAUUAAGGGAGCUUACGGUAACUGCAAGUAGUUGCAAGCGGUUCCGAUCGACUGAAAGUGGUUCGAAAAAUCAGGAAUAGUGACCGAUCAUGUAUAAGUAAUAACUGAUCACAAGGGGCGAUUUAUAAAUAGAUCAAUAACAUUCUAAAAGGGGUCUUUUCCUGUGAAUAAAAGACCGCCCUAAUUUUCUUGCAAUUUCUCGCAUUUUCUAGGAGUAAUCUACUUGUAAUUUUUACUUUCCUACAUUUACUGUUUUUUCCUAGGAGUAAGUCCUAAGUAGAUCAACCGAGUCUGUAUACCAUCCGGCACACUCAACCCUUGUACUUUUCCUCAAGCUUAAUUUCUAAGGCUUUCGACUCUUCACGCCGACUAACUGGUCUAUGUCUUUUCUAUUCGGUUCAUCUACCGAGUCAAAUCCAUAGCUGGCCCGUACAUUCGGCUCAUUCCAGACGAACCGAAUCUUGAAUAGAGCUUUCGAACUCGGUUGAUCCGAUCCCUCGUCAGCCGAAUCACUUGAUCCAGUCGAAGGGCGCAAACUUCGAGGGUCACUAUCCACAGCCGCUUUUCAUCCCAACACGCUCCCCGAGGAGAAUCUUUGACUAAGUCAAGGACCAGGGAAUUCGGCUCGCAACACUACCUUUCUCUCAAAAAAAAAGUUAUGCAGAAAAAGAUUACGGGCGAAUGAGUAUAAAACUUUAAUUACUAUGAAAAAAGAGAGUACCACGGGGGGCGGAGCCCCGUGCACACCCCGUUCUGUACCCCGGUACAGAUCCGGUCUGUACCCUAUCUGACAUCAGUGUAGGCUACGGAUUUGAAUCUAUUGGCUCAAGCCCUCCGUUACGUAUCAUAAACAUCCAUUUUUUUUGUUCACAUUUUUUUUUUGAGAGAAAGGUAGUGUCGACGAAUAAGGGACACAAAAUCGAAAUAGAUAACAAGAAUUUCGAGGCACAUAUGACAAGAUGCUUUACUUAGGCCCUGUUUGGAUGCACGGUAAAAAAAUUCCAUGGAGUUUAAAUACCAUAGUUUUGAUCCAAAUAAAAUGGGGAAUCCUGUAACUCCAAAAAAAUUCCACAGGAUUAUUUUAGAAGCUGUUUGGAUGCACAUUAUACAAUUCUACGGAAUUUCUGACAAUCUUAAAAAAAUAAGCUAUUAGGGACUUUAAAUUUAAAUUAUUAAUUAUUAACUGGUUUUAAAUUUUCAAAUUAGUAUAUUAAAGAUACCUAAAUAUUAAUUGUUAUUUCAAAUUUUAAAAAUUAUGACAUUAAACUACUAAUAAAUUUAUUCAAAUUUUGAAACACUAGCUGUUGGAAAGCUUUAUCUCCAAAACUAGCCGUUAGUAAACUAAAAAAUUCAAAUACUAGCCGUUAGAAAGCUCAAAAAUCAAAAAACUAGCCGUUAGAAAGCUCAAAAAUAAAAAAACUAGCCGUUGGAGAGCUCAAAAAUAACUAAACUAGCCGUUGGAGAGAAAUAUUAUUGUUUUUACACUAUUCAAAGUCUAUUUAAAAGGAACAAGUUCUUACAAUCACAUAACUAGUAAUUCCUACAUUUUCUUCUCUAUAUCUCUACAAUCACAAAGUAUGGAUAACAACAAUCUCGCACUUCUUCUUUUGAGGAGAAGGGAAGAAGAAGAAUUUGAGUUCAUAAACUUCAUUCAUCCAGUGGCAAAUGGUGAUGAAAUAUCAGAGAGGAGACGCACAUUAAUCAACGGUUCCCAAACUUCUGAUGGAGCAGAAACCAUUUUCUUGUCGGCAUCCCAACCAAAGCCACUCAUCUCUACUAAGUUCUUCACAGCUUUAAAUUGCUUCUUUAAUUGUUGCUCCUGAUCUUUUACUUGUUCUAAUGUAUAAUUUGAAUGAGAAAACUUAGUAAUCAUCGCCUUAUGUAUACUGCGCCAUCCCUCUUUAUUCCAUCCAUUUUGACCUCUCCAUUUAUCUUUAUUAUGUUCUUGCAAAAGUUCUACUAAAUAAGCUCUAUGCAUAUCCGUCCAUUUUGCCCGUGAUUGUUUUUUUGGAUCGUUUUCUGCGCAUGAGUACAUUAUAGAAAAAAGCAUAUAAAUUGAACUAUGCAUAAACAUGUAAUUUCCUACAAAACCUUUAAAACUAUGCAUGUAAAUUGAACUUUGCAUUUGAUAUCUCUGAGUUCAUUCUAUUAACACUAACAAAGCAAUUAUAUGUGCAAGUGUGCAAGUCCAAUACAAAGCAAGUGUGCAAGUCCAAUACAAAGCAACAUCUCCUCCUUUUUUUUUCAAGUUGUGUUUUGUAAGAUAAAGAGAGAGCCAUUUUUUUAAUUCCAUUUCCAUCUUAUAUUUGAGCAGAAUCAUGUACUCUUAUAAAAUGCAUAAGGAAAAGAUAAAAUUUAGAUGUUUCUGAAUGUAGUGAUUGAAAGUAGUUAAAAGAAAAAGAGAACAUUGUACGCAAAGAAGGCAUUUUUUAGUUUGACAUUCAUGUUUUGGAUUAAGCAAUUUAUAGUGUUUUCUGAAACAACUCAUCAGGGUAAUCACAGCAAUCAGAAGAAUGGGUCUACAAAGUGUGAUUAGUUAGCGCGACUCAUUUUGCUUGGCCACAUUCACAGCUAUGGACUCCUACAUAAUAAACUACUCAACAGAACACAAAAGGCUCAAUUUUUCUUUACCUAAUACCUUUUCAUUCCUCAAACCUAUCAAGUUUCAAAACAGUAUUUCCAAGCUAGCUAUUACCCACAUAAAUCCAUCGAAAGAAUAUAAAACGAGAGCGUAUAAUCAAACAAACAUAACAACAAGUAAGAAACAAACACCACAAACCAACAAGAAAUUAUAUUCCAACAACAAAAAAUUCAUCAAGAAUUAAUAUUUAAAUUAUAUUCCAACACCAACUCUCUAUGAAGUAAUAGCUUUAUCUACCUUAGCUACAAAUAGCAUACAUAAAUUGCUCUGCUUCUGCUGCUUAGGAAAGAAAUUAUUUCUCCCACAUGCCCCCCAUCUACUCCAUUUUUUUUUCUUUAAUUCUAAUCUUCACUAUUUCUAAAAAUAAAAUUUAGUUUAGAUGUUGCAACAAGUUAUCAUCAAAGAGUAGAAGCGCAAGAUUAGCCUUGAUCAAUAGAAAUAAUCACCAAAUGCAUCAACCAACCUAGCCUUUUGCUGGUAGAUCACCCUAGUUGAAGUGGCUCAAGCUGUGGAGGCCCAAGGAGCAUCAUAGGUUAUAAGCAAUUUUAAAAACUAUUAUUCAAGUUAACACUGAAAGCAAAAAUGGUUAAAUUAAUCAAAAGUGGGAACUUGAUAAACCAACAAGAAAGUCCUCACUGCCACAGAGAUUUAUGUUUGGUUUAAUGCCCUUCAACCAUGAGAAAGAGAGUACGCAAACAAAUUUUACUCUCUACUUCUUCACUACAUUAUCAUAUUACUCUUAAUUUUACCUUCAGAUUACUUUCACAAGUCCAAAACCCAAAAUUAAUUUCUUUCUUUACCUGUUGGAGGAGGAAAAGAGUGCUCCAGCCAUCGCAGGGUACGACCGUGGCCGGCGGUGGCGACCGUGGCCGAGAAGAGUGCGGCGCCUCUCUGGACAGCGGCGGCGACCGUGGCCAAGAUGAGUGCGGUGCCUCUCCGGACAGCGGCGGCGGCCGUGGCCGAGAUGAGUGCGGCGCCUCUCCGGACAGCGGCGGCGACCGUGGCCCAGAUGAGUACGGCGCCUCUCCGGACAGCGACGGCUACCGUGGCCGAGAUGAGUGCCGCGGACGAAGUGAGUGUUGCGGCGUCGGCGGCGGCCGAAGUGAGUGCGGCGGCGUCAGCGACGGCCGAAGUGAGUGCGGCGGAGGAGAGGGUGGGUUGUGGAGAGGGUGGGUGGUGGGUUGUGGAGAGGGUGGGUUGUGGAGAGGGUGGAGAUUAGAGAGAGGAGGGAGGCCCUGAGGAAGAGGGGGAAAAAAAGAGGUGGGCUGCGUGAGUGGAGGAGCCCGAAAAGUGGAGUUUUGGUUUUAGGAGAAAAUUUUAGAUUUUACUUUUACCCUACUUUUUGGGGUAUAGUUUAACUAUACCUUAAUUAGUUGGUAUUUUUUUAAACCAUCCAAACACUUGUUAGGAAAUUUUUCCUACACCCAUAGUAUAGUUAUACUAUACUCUAAAAAAGUGACCAUCCAAACAGGCCCUUAUACUUUAAUGCAACACGAAAUAAAUUCCUCUUGUUUAUGCUUUUUUCUGUUACAUAAAUUGAUCUAAUAGAAAAAUGGCUAAAACACUCCAAGGAUAACUCUAAUAUCAAAGAUCAAGAUGUUAUAAAACAUUGUAGCAAGGGUCUUACUACUUUCUAAACUGUAUUAUUUCAAUUCGUUCAAAUAUUAACCACACUUAUAUCUUAAAAUAAGUAACCUAAAUUCUAUUACUAAGCCAAAAUCCUUUGUCUUAGUGCUUUUAGUUUUCACCAAUCCUCAGCUAAUACUUGUAUCUACACAUUCUCAUUAGACUCAAAUCAUUCAAGCACUUAGAGUUGCUCACCAUGCAUGUGAUGCUGGUGUUUAACACAUUUCUUAAAUGGUUUGUUUUACAGAUCCCUGCAGUUGCAAGGACUCUACCAUUUCCUAGAGUUUGUAACUCAGUGGUCCUUUUUCUCCUUUUUUUUUUUUCUCCCCUAUCCGUAGACUCUUUUACCCUAAAAUACCUCCUUAUUAAGUACUUAUAUAUUAAUUCAAGGCUAGAGACACCGAUCCCAAAUUUUAGUUCAUACAAGAGAUCCAACUCCUCAUCUCAUGAUUUGCUCCUGCAUGUGUGUGUGUGUGUAUGUAUAUAGAAAGAAAGAGAGAGAGAGAGAGAGAGAGAGAAUGAAAUGCUUCUAAUAAUUCUAAAUCAUUGUUAUAUAUAACCGACCGUCUCUGGAGCAAGUUGCUAAAGGUUUGGUGCUUGGUAUCCGAGAUCCAAGUUUGAAUCCUCGUUGAUUCACGUUUCUACCUAAGUUUAUUUCUGAAUGAAAUAAACGAAGCAGGUAGUGUGCUACCUAUCUCUCUCUCAAAAAAAAAAAAAAUCUUAUAUAUAGAGAGAGUCUGGAUACAAUACUAUUAAUAGCACGAAACAUUUGAUGCUACCAAAAUUUUCGCCUUUGACCAUUUUCAUUCUUAAAUCAUACUAUUUUACCAAUCAUCCACUAAAUUCUAGGAGGCUAUUAUUAUCCUAACUGUUUAUUUUUUCAUUUAAGGAUCAGAAACUUAAAAAAACUUGGUGCUAUUGAUAAUAUUCCAUUCUAAGAAGGCAACUCAUCAUUAGGGCACCAUAUAUAGUUCUUCCAAUUUGUAGCUCAUUGAUUUUCCCACACAUAAAAUCAAAGUCCAUCUUUCUUAGGCGGUGAUAUGUCACUGUUCAGUGAGAAAGGCACAUGAGAAGGAUUAGGCAUGGCCCCCAAUCAUAUGGUUUUGUAGUUGGAAAUAUAUAUAUAUAUAUAUAUAUAUAUAUAUAUAUAUAUAUAUAUAUAUAUCAAGAGAGAGAUUGCUCCCACUCUCGGCUGACGUCCCUGCAGGAGCCAGGAGGAUAGACAAGGCUGGUUCCGGGCGAUCGUCGGCGGAGUGGGGCCAAACGGUCUGGAAUUCAAUCUUGGGACUGAUGUUUUUAAUGUGCAUUGAAUGGAUCGCUCUGACGGGGCGAUGCGGGCGACGUUCUUCGAGCAAAAUGGAUUAGUUUUUCAAAUGCUUCGGGUUCGGUGCCUAUGGGGAUGCAAAGAUGAAGCAAUGCAUUGAUUAACUGUGCUGUGAACAAAGCGGACAGUCUUUGAUUUCGGAGGAUCUCGUCAUCCAUGCUCGAAACUGGGCAGUGGGUGGUCGUUUGCUUUCGGCCCGAAGCGGGCCCACUGAUCUCCCUAGGCACUCGGGCUCGGUACUGUUCCUGCAGGCCAGUCACGCCUAUUUGAGGGGUGGCAGGAGAUGCCCACUUGGACCGCGUUCAGAUGGCCAUCGGGUUUGAUAAGGGGCUCGGGGAGUGGUCUUAGUCUGCGGCCACGCAAGUCUCUGGGGGAAGGGGGUCAGACUCGGCCCGCACGAAGGCUGGUGUGGUGGUGACCGGCCUCUUCCGUGGCCCUCCACUUUUUUGCGGGGACGGCAGCAGAAGGUCCCACUUGGUCCGGGUGCAGCGCUCGGGACUGAGUUGGCUCGCUAUCGUACCUUGGCGGCGGAAUUGCAGAAUCGGCUCGGGACAUGGAGCGUGCAGAUGGGCCGUGACGGGAGUCGGACUUGCUAUGGUUUCUUUUCGGGGAGCCACGAACUAGCGCCGGGAGGUUGGGGCGACUUGGCCCGCGCGGAUUCGGCUUUUCUUCUUGUCUUUGGUGGGGGCCACGCUUCUCUGUUGCCUGACUUGGGGGAUUUGGCGGUUCUCUCUUGGUAGCUUGCUUCUUCGUUUCGGAUCUCCUCGGCCAUGCUUUUCGGCUCGGGACCCGAUCGCCCACCCUUACCCUCGGCCGUGGUUGGAGGGAGGCGGGAGCGCCUCUCGAACGGCGACGUUGGUCGUGUCCCGUCAAGAAGUGGGAAACCCCCCCUGGAGACCGAUCAGAUUUUGGGACUGUCAUUAUGGAAUCGGCUUGUUCGGGACUGCGCACAAGGGAGCCCUCUCCCAAACAACGGACGGAAAAGAUUUAAUCCGGCUCGCCUGCGGCCGGAGCUGAUCAACAGAACGAUGGUCGGAAGGUACUCUCAUUGCCCGAUAUCAGGGGCGUGUGUUCGCCGGUGGCAUAGUGGCGGGAUUACUUCUCUUGCCCCCAAUAUGUUCCCUUGACCGUCUGAGACGACUACUGAGGUCGGGUUUUCCUGUCUCGCUGCGGCGGGAGUGAUCAACGGAGCGAUGGUCGGGAAGUCGUGUGCCGCCGUGCGUUCGACCAGAGCUUGGUGAGGCUGAAAUCCGUGGGCAAUUGUAUCGGGCGCUUUUGGACGGGCCAACUGAGGAGGGCUUUCCUGCUGAAGGGAAGAUCAAUGGACCGAGCCCCUGCGUCGACUCUCAGAUCAUUAGAAAGUGUGAAGAAAGAUGCGCUUUGUGGAGUCAAGUUUCAGGGGGUGGAAGCCGAGGAGCUUCAAUCAAGUUCUCGGACGGGCGGGUUUGACCUGAGUGGGCCUUCUUUUGUGUUUUGGGCGGCCUUUUGGUUGUGUGUCGCUUUCUUAUGUUAAAAUUAUUACUUGGAUAUGAUACGUGGUCUGAACGACUCAUGUAGCGUACGUAGUGUUAGAGCUAUCAUCCCUAAACACGUUGGUUCGGUGAUUUGUAUCCAAGAAUCAAAAGUGGAUUCGGAUGUCCUCGUUACACUUUCUCGCGUCUUUGUUGUGGCUCGAGUUUCGACAGAUGUCACUUUAACCCGCUCGGGGGCAUGCGGGCGGUUUAUUCACUGUCUGGGAGCUACAAAAUUUUUUCGUUUGUAACGGAGGCGUUGGUGCGCGAUCACUCGCGUCACUCUGCGAGCUUUAAUCAUUAUUACUAGUGAUACGAGCUUUUACGCUUACGAAAUGUAUAUGGACCGCAUCGUGGGACUGGGAAAAGAAGAGUUCAUGCGCCGGAGCUCUCGCUAAUCGGUGCGGUGUGUUCACGGAUAUAAAUGGUUAUAUUGUGGGGAAUUUCAAGCUUUACUAGAACCAGGCUGAACGCACUGGGAACGGGGGAGCACUAAAGCGGAUGUCCAAUGGUUCUCGGACCUCAUUUCAAAUCUCGAAGUCAUACGGACUGCCCUUGUCCAACCAAAAUUUACUUGGUUCUAAUAUGCAACGCUCACCAACCCUGGCCAAACUGGACAGAUUUCUUGUCAUCGACAGAUUGGGGAUCAAGAGUUCCCGCUUCUGGGCAGGGAUUUCCAUACUACCUAGAACUUUACCCUCCGACCACACCCCUUAAUACCUCGAUAUCUGGAAGCUUGCGCACUAAGAAGGAUCAAUUUCGGUUGUGAGAAGAGUGUGGCUUCUAGCCGGACUUCAACCAAACUACGUACGCGAUCAUGGUUGGAACGAAGUACCCGGGCAGAGUCAGCGCAUUCUUACGCUGACAGAGCGAAGCUGAGACAUUGAAGAAACAGGAUGAAGGAAUGGUGCAAGACAAAAUUCCAUAGCAUAUCCAACGCAAUAAGAACUUUACCGCCAGGAAAACCAGAAGAAAUUCGAAACAUUUGAUCUCUCGGAGGAACGGAAUAUCUUGACCCAGGAAGUACGGGAUAAACGAGUUGAACUUAAAGCACAGCUCCAACUCCAUACUAAAAAGGAAGUGAAGAAAUACCUGUGGAGAAUCGAGAGCUAGAACAGCAACUGGCUAAAAGAAGGAGACACAACACAAAAGUUUUUCCAUGCAGUGGCCAAUGGGCGGAAGCGUUGUAAUGAAUCACUACCAUGAAGAAUGAGGACGGUAGACAAAUCCGUAACGAGGAGCAUAAAAAUCCUGUUCUUUUCAAUCCUUUAAACGCCUUUUCGGCCAGUGUGGAAGAUGAACCGCGCCUUCUUUCGGCGAAAUUGGGCGGACUUGUAUCGGAGCAGGACGCCUUAUGACUGCGACCCCCUUUACAUGCCCCUAUCACUUAGAUGAAAUUAAAAAGGCUACGAUAAUCCAUUCAACUCGGAGUGACAGAGGCGCCUUAGGCCCCGACGGCUCCCGCAUAUUUUUCUUUCAACAACUUCUGGAGACAGUAAAGGAUAAUAUUUUUGAUAUAGUUCAAAGACCCUACAUGGAGCUGGAUCUCUUUCACGAGGAACGGUCUGAACUACACGCAUGUAUGAUUUAAUCCCCAAAGGAAGGAGCUCGCAUGGUUAACCCGACUUCAAGACCGAUUUGCCCUCCUGAACAGGAAGCAAAGAUUAUUUCUAAAAGAUUUCUUGCAACAGACUUGCAGGGGUCUUAACCAUCAGAUAAUACUCUAACGUACCCAUCGCGUUCUUGGAAAAUCGGCCUAUUAGCGGACGUCUUUCGGCGCACUGCGAACACGAAUUCCUCACUGGUGUGGCAAAAACUAAUAGGAGUGUGUCUCAGUAUUAAGGUGGAUUUCGAGAAAGCGUAUGACAAAGUCAGCUGGAGGUUCUUGGCAAAGUAAUUACGUUUGGCUUGGUUUAGCGACAAAUGGUGGAACUGGAUCGAACAAUGUAUCUGUAACGCCUAAAGUUGCAAUUGUUAGUAAACGGUCUCGCCGCUAACUGGAUGAUAAAAUAGAGGGGACUCGGACAGGGACCACACUGUCCCUNNNNNNNNNNNNNNNNNNNNNNNNNGUAACUUCAAUAUUAUCUUUGAUGUAAGGUAAAUGAUUCAAAAAUUACGAAAUUUGAUUUCAAAAAUUUUAAUAUGUUCUAAUCAUGUUUAACGAUAGUGAUCGUUGAUUUAAAAAUUGUAUCUUUAAAAAUGACUUAUGGAGUACAAAAACGAUCUAUACUCAUAAGAGUAAAGUAGCUGGAUCUAUUAUACAUAUAUAUCAUUAGCAAAACCACUAUAUAUUUAUGUGGGACAUAUAUCUAGUAUAUUUUUAAGCAAUGUCCUAACCAAAUCUACUGAUAUUUUAUAAUCUAAACACAUCAAAAUAAUAAUAAUAAUAAUAAUAAUUAAUUAUCAAGGCAACAAAAUUAAUAGUUUCAAAAAUCUAACGAUACAAAAAAAGUAUAUUGUCUAAAUGAAAAAUUAUUCACAAGUGUUUUUUAGAUUCUCGAAUUAGAUAAAAGUGAUAAACACAGGGUACUAACUUGAUACAUUUUAAACCACAGGAACUAAAAUAAAAAAAAGUAAACCACAAGGGGGGUUUUUGAAGUUUUCGCCUUUUUGAUAUGUAUAUAUACAGAGAGAGAGAGAGGUCAUUAAAUUCCCGAACUGGUGCCGUGUACAUAUCGGAACUAUACAAACCUUGUUUUUCCAUCUAUAUACUUCAAUCCUAUAAUCUCUCACUUUAUUCUGCAAAAUGAUUUAAUGGCGGAUGAUGGAGAUUGAAAUAUGAUAAAUAUUAAUUACCAUGCAGGUAAGAGUUUGAUAAAUUUUCUUGUAUCCAAUUUGCAAAAUGAUUUUUGAUCUCUAUUCCCUUUUAUGUUGUUGUAGUUGUGAAUAAGGGUACGCUUAAUCAAAAAGCAAACAACAACACAGAGGCAAAGCAUCAAAGAAAAAUACUCUAAGAUAAACUAAAUUAAUUAAUAAUAAAAAAAGAACAGUAAGUUUCUGCAAUAAUACAGGUAGUAUCCUAAGGUGACUGAAACAAAACAAGCUUUAAUUUUUGUACUGAAAUAAUCAAAGACCGAAGUAUAAACCAUGUCUACACAUUGUUUGUCUCAUUAAUCUAUAUGUAUACUAUUUCCUUCUAGCUUCGGAUUCCUCUCUCUCUCUCUCUCUCUCUCUCUCUCUCUCUCUUCCUUGUGUUUGUAUUUGUGUCCAAGAGGCCAAGGACUCUGUGCAAAGAUGUUAAUAGCACCAAUUUGUCUUCAAUUAUUAAUUAUAUAUAUAGAGAAGUGCAGGAUCAAAACAAAACUUUAAUUAAUAAAAAUAAUUAUUAACAUGCCUUUCACCUGACCUACUGUUCCUAGCGCAAGUGGCAAAAAGGCUUCGGUGAUUGGUACCCGAGGGCGCAAGUUCGAAUCCUAAUUAUUCACAAUUCUAGGCUAAAUUAUAUUUUAAAUGAAUAAACAGAAGCAAGUAGCAUACAUCUUCUCUCAAAAAAAAGAAGAAAAAUCGUGCCUUUCACGGGCUGAGUCAAAUUCUUACACAUAAUUAAGAGCAUUCGAAAUCGGAAACAUAGGAGAAAUUAUUACCACAUCCCAGUAUAUAGCAUCAAUUAAGUAGCUAGUUCUAAAAAAUCAACCCCGGAGAAAUAACUGUUAUUAAUUAAGUUAUUAGGAAUUAGUAUCAGAAUUAUAAUAUUUUAUCAUGCAUGUAUGCUUUUGUAAAAAUAUAAACAAGAUUUAAACACAUGUUCUUUAUCAGCUUAAGUUUUUUAGAGUAUAACGAUAUUUAUUAUAUUAUUUAAUACUUUUUAUAGUGGCCAAAAUACAUUCACCAAACUUAAAUUUUGAUUUUAAGAACCCUAUUUUAAGACUUAAAGCUACGGUGUAGAAAUAUACUUAUACACCAGGCACGAAAUGAUUUAUAAUAAAUUAGAGUCAAGCCACAACAAUAUUUAACAAAUAUCUCUUGAAUAAUUUGAAGAAAAUAAAUAAGAUCAUAGAUACACUGGCCCAUGGGCCCAUUAAUAUUUUGGUCUCUAAUGGAGUUAAUAAAAAAUCAAACAAAUAAAUACAACCCAAGCAAAUAUUAAGCAAUCCACUUGCCAUAUAUAUCAAGAAUGCCAAAUGUCCAACCAUGGGGGAAUUGGACUCAUGCCUAAACCUUAUAAUUUCAUACUUAUUCAUUUUAGUGGCUGACUGUCUCGCUAGGGUCACGAAAGCAGCAAGGACUAAUAGUUUACUUCAGGGAAUAGGACCCUCAGACGAGUGUCAAACUGUAAUUCUGCAGUAUGCGGACGACACUUUAUUCUUUUCAAAGCCUAAGAAGUCUGCUAUGCGUAAUCUACUCUUCAUCUGGAAGAUGUUUGAAUGGGCUUCGGGUCUUAAGAUAAAUAUGAACAAGACGGAACUUUACCACAUGGGAAUUACCGCAAACAGAGCGAAACGAUAUGCAGAUAUUUUGGGAUGCAGAGUCGGCAGCCUACCGUUCCGAUAUUUGGGUCUUCCGCUACAUAUCAACCCCCUCCGUAAGGAAGAGUGGUCGCCGAUCAUCAACCGCAUUGAGACGCGCAUCGACGGAUGGAAGGCUAAACUCCUCUCGCAAGGGGGGAGACUCAUCUUGGUCAACUCGGUACUUUCGAAUCUUCCGUUAUUUUACUUUGCAAUCUUCAAAGUACCACAAUGGGUGUUGAAGCGAAUUGAAGCGCUUAGAAGAUCCUUCUUCUGGAAAGGAUGUUCCAAUAUUUCGGGAGGCUCAUGCCUUGUUGGUUGGAAAACGAUGUGUAGAAGCAAAAAAGAAGGAGGUCUAGGGAUAAAAGAUAUGGAAGCUAUGAAUAAGGCGCUUUUAGCAAAAUGGUGGUGGCGUUUCUUUAACGAGAAAAGCCUGUUAUGGGGGAGGCUAAUCACUGCAUUAUAUUACACCAGAAGAAGGCCGUUACGCGAAGGCAGAUCCUUUAGACCUUACUCAGAAUGGUGGAGAAGUGUAAUGAGCUGUCGAGACGUGUUCAAAUGUGGUGUUUCGUAUGCUCUUGGCAAUGGAAAAAAUAUCAGGUGGUGGUCGGAUAUUUGGAUCGAUGAAACCCCUCUUAGUACCCGAUUCCCACGAAUCUUUAGCAGUAUCACAAAUCAGGAAGCCACGGUUGCACAAUGUUGGAAUGAAAGAGGAUGGAGAUGGCGCUUCUUAACCAGAGGUUUUGAUACUCAUACCAGUGGUCAGAAUAGCCAACAGAAGGCGCUGCUCAAAAACCUCCUCUCUCACUUUAGCCCGUCAAACUCAGAGGAUAUACUAAAGUGGCGAUGGACCGCCAAUCAAAUUUUUACCGUCAAAUCACUUUAUGAAUUCAUUACCGACGGAGGACAGAUUGAUACUUUGUACGAUCAUCUAUGGGGGUUAAAAAUUCCGCUCAAACAUAAAGUUUUCAUUUGGAUUCUACUUCGAAAGAGAUUACCUACGGCAGACAGACUGCUGCGCCGAGGGUGCAUCGUGGAUCAGCACUGUAGGUUCUGUGUGUUACUAGCCGAAACAGGUGACCACCUAUUCCACGAUUGUAUCGUGGUCAGAUUUCUUCGUUUUAAAGUAGGAGCCUUCGAGGAGGAGAUUUCGGAUGUGGGGGAUGCACGCCAGCUGUGGACACAGUUCUCGGAUAUCCCCGUGGCCGUUACAAGAUCAAAAUUGUUAACCAAGCUGGCGGCAAUUUGGUGGGUUGUUUGGACGGAGCGCAAUGGCAUUUGUUUCCGCGAGGUGCCCUUUAACGUGUCUACGGCUCUCGAACGGGUCGCCGUGUUGAUCGAAGCCUGGAACGAAACACUUUGAAUCUCUCCCGACCUCGGUGCUUAACCCUCUGGUCACCUUCUGUUUAUUUUGGAUUGUUGGUGUUUACUGGGUUUCUUGGACCUGGUUUUUGUUUCUCUUGUUUUUACUUUUAUUUUCUUUCUCUUGUUCCCUCGGUCAGGAAGCCUUAGCUGCUUCCAAGUUGUAAGCUAAAUUCAUUUCGCUUAAUGAAUGAAGCAGGUAGCUUGCUACCUAUUUCUCAAAAAAAAUAAAAACGCAUGACAACUAGUGCAGUGCAAAAUCGUAAAGCCAUAUAUAUGAUGUUAAAGUAAAAAAUAUACUGAAUCACAAUAUAGAAACUAUUUGAGAGAAACAAUACAAGUUCAAACAACUUUAAUUACUCUCAAAAUAUUAAUGGUAGCCACUUUUUUUCCCUUCUUAUUAAUUGCUAUGUUUUCUCUUAAUAUAAGUACAGGUAACACUUAAUUUUCUAUUCCCAAACAGAAAGGAAAAAAAUUGCUUCUUAUCUCAUCAUUUUGUACGUGCCAAGGCAUAAUUUUUCUCCAGAGAUUCAUCAAAAUUUGCGAGAGGAAAAGAAAGAGAUAAUAACAUAGUACUUUAAUAAAUUAAAUGCCACUAAAAUACUACUUUAAUUUCCAACAAUAUAUAUAGGUUGUGGUGCCUUUUCAACAUGGACUCAUCAAUAGAAAAUUGUCGUAUAUAUUUGGGUACAAGAAUCGUGUACGUAUGUGGAGACUAAAAUACUCUCACAUCUCCUUACAAAAAAAAAAUGGAGAAAAGCUUUGAGAAUUAUGACACGGAAUUUUUCUAUUUUUAGAUGCUAAGAUUCACACGAUUUGACCCCUCUUUUGGCUCUGAAUAAUGAGCCAAAUAAUGGUGGUGGGGAAGGAUUUUCAAGUCAUUCACCAAAAUUAUUCAAUCAUCAAAAUAAGGGAGGAUCUAAAAAAAAAAAAGAUAAAUACGCAUAAAAUUUGUCCGAACUAUGAUCCAUUUUGAUUCAUCUAUGUAUUUUAUAUUAUAAUAUUUUACUUUUGCUAUUAUUAUAGUAUUUUACUUUUGGGACUUAAUAUUUCAAUUCCUUUCGUUUAAUUAAGUUGUUCACCAGCUCUUUUGUUUUAAACAUUUAUUUCAAUAGGAGAGUAGCUACAUCAAGCCUUUUUAACGGUGCAGAGAAAUUUUAAAAUAGAAGAGCUAUCAAAUGACUCAAUGUAAAGAGAUUAAAAAGAUAAAUAGCAAAAUCAAAAGGUUUAAAAGUCGGAUGGUCGAAUCAAAAUGAAUUGUAGAUUACAUUUGUUGGAUACANAUACUUAAUAGUUAUCUUUUGAUUGUAAGGUAAAUGAUGUCAAAAAAUUACGAAAUUUGAUUUUCAAAAAUUUUAAAUGUUCUAAAUCAUGUUUAACGAUAUUGAUCGUUGAUUUAAAAAUUGUAUCUUUAAAAAUGACUUAUGAGUACAAAAACGAUCAUACUCAUAAGAGUAAAGUAGCUGGACUCUAUAUAUACAUAUAUCAUUAGCAGAAACCACUAUAUAUUUAUGUUGGGACAUAUAUCUAGUAUAUUUUUUUAAGCAAUGUCCUAACCAAAUCUACUUGAUAUUUAUAAUCUAUAACACUAUCAAAAUAAUAAUAAUAAUAAUAAUAAUUAAUUAUCAAGGCAACAAAUUAAUAGUUUCAAAAAUCAACGAUACAAAAAAGUAUAUUGUCUAAAUGAAAAAUUAGUUCACAAGUGUUUUUAGAUUUCUCGAAUUAGAUAAAGUGAUAAACCACAGGGUACUAACUUGAUACAUUUUAAACCACAGGAUACUAAAAUAAAAAAAAGUGAAACCACAAGGGGGGUUUUUGAAGUUUUCCCUUUUUGAUAUGUAUAUAUACAGAGAGAGAGAGAGGUCAUUACAUUCCCCAACCUGGUGCGCGUACAUAUCGGAACUAUACAAACCUUGUUUUCCAUCUUAUACUUCAAUCCUAUAAUCUCUCACUUUUAUUCUAGCAAAAUGAUUUAAUGGCGGAUGAUGGAGAUUGAAAUAUGAUAAUAUUAAUUACCAUGCAGGUAAGAGUUGAUAAAUUUCUUGUAUUCCAAUUUGCAAAAUGAUUUUUUGAUCUCUUAUCCCUUUUAUGUUGUUGUAGUUGUGAAUAAGGGUACGCUUAAUCAAAAAGCACAACAACAACACAGAGGCAAAGCAAUCAAAAGAAAAAUUACUCUAAGAUAACAAAUUAAUAAUAAUAAUAAAAAAGAACAGUAAGUUUCUGCAAUAAACAGGUAGUAUCCUAAGGUGACUGAAACAAAACAAGCUUUAAUUUUUUGUACUGAAAUAAUUCAAAGACCAAGUAUAAACCAUGUUCUACACAUUGUUUGUCUCAUUAAUCUAUAUGUAUACUAUUUCCUUCUAGCUUCGGAUUCUCUCUCUCUCUCUCUCUCUCUCUCUCUCUCUCUCUCUUCCUUGUGUUUGUAUUUGUGGUCCAAGAGGCCAAGGACUCUGUGCAAAGAUGUUAAUAGCACCAAUUUGUCUUCAAUUAUUAAUUAUAUAUAAGAGAAGUGCAGGAUCAUAACAAAACUUUAAUUAAUAAAAUAAUUUAUUAACAUGCCUUUCACCUGACCUACUGUUCCUAGCGCAAGUGGCAAAAAGGCUUCGUGAUUGGUACCCGAGGCGCAAGUUCGAAUCCUAAUUGAUUCACAAUUCUAGCUAAAUUUAUUUUUAAAUGAAAUAAACGAAGCAAGUAGCAUACUAUCUUUCUCUCAAAAAAAAAGAAGAAAAAACGUGCCUUUCACCUGAGUCAAAUUCUUACACAUAAUUAAGAAGCAUUCGAAAUCGGAAACUAGGAGAAAUUAUUACCAACCAUCCCAGGUAUAUAGGCAUCAAUUAAGUAGCUAGUUCUAAAAAAUCAACCCCGGAGAAAUAACUGUUAUUUAAUUAAGUUAUUAGGAAUUAGUAUCAGAAUUUAUAAUAUUUUACAUGCAUGUAUGCCUUUUGUUAAAUAUAACAAGAUUUAAACACUGUUCUUUAUCAGCUUAAGUUUUUAGAGUAUAACGAUUAUUUUAUAUUAUUUAAUACUUUUUUAGUGUCGCAGAAUACAUUCAACAAACUUAAAUUUUGAUUUUAAGAACCCUAUUUUAAGACUUUAAGGCUACGGUGUAUGAAAUAUACUUAUACACCAGGGGCACGAAAUGAUUUAUAAUAAAUUAGAGUCAAGCCCCACACUACAUAUUUAACAAAUAUCUCUUGAAUAAUUUGAAGAAAAAUCAGAGAUGAUCAUAGAUACACUGGCCCAUGGGGCCAUUAAUAUUUUGGCUCUAAUGGAGUUAAUAAAAAAUCAAACAAAUAAAUACAACCCAAGCAAAUAUCUAAGCAAUCCAGCUUCCAAUAUAAUCAAGAAUGCCAAAUUGUCCAACCACUGUGGGAAUUUGGACUCAUGCCCUAAACCUUAUAAUUUCACUGUAAAUUUUAAUUACCCUCCUAUCAUUCAGUGUAUUUUCACUUUGCUACUCCGUAGGUAAUUUUAAAAGUUGUACUUUGCUAGUAUUUGGUUUUAAGCGCAAGUCGUUAAAUAGAAUAGUUAUUCAAAUUAUACAUUUACAAAUUACAUGCACGACAAAAAUAUAUAUAGCUUUUAGUACUAUAUAGUAUGUAUUUUAGCAUGAAGCGUUUUCUAAAAAUAAAAACGCAUGGAGCCCAUAAAGACUUAGAGAGAGAAAGGGUCGUAGGAUGACACGUGGGGCCGGCAAGAUGUGUGGAGACGGCACUGUUAAUGGUUUAAAAAAAAAGGAAAGGAAGGGGGACGACGUGUUGGCGGGGCCUCAGACGGACAAUGGCCUCGGCAAGAUCAGCGACCUCUCCAACAAGUUCUUGGCGGUUAAAGGAAAAGAGAGAGCUGAGAGAGCUGGAAAGGAAGUUGGUGGGGAACGGAACAAGGAAAAGACUGGUGAGAAGGAGGCAAAAGGUAAAGCUCGAGUUACAGACUGGAAUGCUGGUAAGGGAGAGGAAAAAGGCAUAGCUCGAGGUUUAGAUCGGUUUACGGAUAAGAAGACGGAGCUCAAGAAGACAGGUGGUAUUGUCUGUUAUUCUCAUUGGCGUAAGGUGACGGGACCUCGCGGGAGACUUGCCUCUUCAUCGUCGCCGGCUACCCCUCCAGCUAUAUCGACGCCGGUCCGUUCUCUAGGACGGAAUGAGAGAUCGAAGGCUUUAGUCAAGAAGCCAGGAGUUAUUGCGGGCACCUACGCGGGCGUAAACAGGACUGAUGGAGGCUCAGCAUCUAAUAAGAAGGUGUUAUGGGCUGAUGAAGUGGGGUUGGCAUUAACUCACAUUGCUCUAGGUUGUUCUGAGGACCCUACUCUCAUACCUCGAUCAUCUGACACGUCGACGAUUCACACCAGAAGGAGAUCUGACACGGGAAUUGGGAAGGCCAGACCCUCCGUCGCUUCAGGUUUAUACAAGACUUACAAGGAAGCUCUUCUCACGCCCACACCCACACCCCAGCGAGCCACCCGUAGCGAUCAGGGCGCCAAGUUCACUCCAGUCUUCAAAUCCCCGCCCACAUCUUUCUUCACGGGAAAGUGUUUCAGGUGCCUGGCUACUAAUCAUCGGGCGGCUAGUUGUCGAGCGCCACUCCAGUGUGUGCGGUGCUUCAAGACCGGCCACGUCGCAAGAUCCUGCGUGGACCGGUUGCCAAUGGCGGUCUAUAGGGAGAUGAGGGCUCGACCGUCCUAUCUCAGUGCUUUUGUUCCACUGUCAGAAGAUUUCUUCUCCAGGCAGAAUCGCUGUCGCAACGCGAUUCUGGUCGACGUUCUUCCCCCCAAGAACCUUGGUCAUUUCCCUCAGGAGACGAUUGCCAACGGGUUGGCGAGUCGUUUCGGCGGCUUCCCUACCGACUUUCAUGUUGCCAAGUAUAGUCAACGUGAUUUUUUGAUCUUUCUUCCGGAGUGGGUGCCGGCGGAUCAGGUGAUCAGAAGAGAGAUUCUGUCGCUAGACAACCUUAGACUCCACUGCUCCCCCUGGAAUCCCUACCAUGGGCUUCGUCGGGCCUCGCUCACUUACAACGUCUGGAUCCGGUUGGUAUGUUUACCAUAUGAGUGUUGGUCCUCUCGCACAGUGGCAGCUUUGGUUGGCGGUUUCGGUCGUUUCAUACGGGCGGACGACCUCUCGACACGCACGGUGGAUCUCACUGGAUACCGAUGUCUCAUCGCUGUCAACUUCCUCUCCGACAUCCCGGAAAACUUAGAAAUCACUGUGGGGGAUCACUCGCUCUCGGUGCUCAUCCAGCUUGAGAGAUGGGGCCGACGCGACGUGGUUGAUCCUGGCAAUCCCCCUAAUGAACGGACCGAUGCUCAUGACCCUUCGCAGAGAGGUCCAGAAGCGCAUCGCCGUUCAGACGGAUCUAGAAGAGGGCGACGUUCGUCGGCCGGCGGCUCUUCAAGCACGGACGCAUCCUGGAACUCGUCGAAAAUCCGGGACAGAAGGAGAGAUGUUCUUGUUCAGGAUGCUUCGCCGCUUCGGAAACCUGCUCCCACUCCGGCUGACUCCCUGCAGGGCCAGGAGGAUACGACAAGGCUGGUUCCGGCGAUCGUCGGCGCGAGUGGGCCAACGGUCUGGAAUUCAAAUUUGGCUGAUGUUGAUGUGGCAUUGAAUGCGAUCCCUGACGGGGCGGCGGGCGACGUUCCUUCGGAGGCAAAUGGAUUAGUUCUUGUCAAUGCUUCGGGUUCGGUGCCUAUGGGAGAUGCAAAGAUGAAGCAAUGCAUUGAUUACUGUAGCUGUGAAAAGCGGGACAGCUUGAUUUCGGAGAUCUCGUCAUCCAUCUCGAGAACUGGGCAGGGGGUGGUCGUUUGCUUUCGCCCGAAGCGGGCCCACUUGAUCUCCCUAGGCAUCGGGCUCGGUACUGUUCCGCAGGCCAGUCACGCUAUUGAGGGGUGGGGCAGGCAGAUGGCCCACUUGGACCCGGUUUCAGAUGGCCUCGGGUUUGAUAAGGGGCUCGGGAGUGGUCUUAGUCUGCGGGCCACGCAAGUCUCUGGGGGAAGGGGUCAACUCGGCCCGCACGAAGCUGGGGGUGGUGGACGCGGCCCUCUUCCGUGGCCCUCUCACUUUUUUGCGGGGACGGGCAAGCAGAAGGUCCACUUGGUCUCGGGUGCAGACGGGCUCGGGACUGGAGUUGGGCUCGGCUAUCGUACCUUGGCGCGGAUGCAGAUGGGCUCGGGACUGGAGCCGGGUGCAGAUGGGCCCGUGACCGGGGUCGGACUUGGCUAUGGUUUCUUUUCGGGGGCCACGACUGGCGCCGUGGGGUGGGGCCGACUUGGCCCGCGCGGAGUUCGGGCCUUUUUUCUGUUUUGGUGGGGGCCUACUGGCUUCUCUGUUGCCGGACUUGGGGGGAUUUGGCGGUUCUCUUUGGUAGCUGCUUCUUCGUGUUCGGAUCUCCUCGCCAUGCUUUUUCGCUCGGGACCCGAUCGCCCCCCCUUACUCCUCGGCCCGGUGGUUGGAGGGGAAGGCGGGGAGCCCCUCUCGAACGGCGACGUUGUCGUUCGGCCGGCAGGUGGACUGGAGACCGAUCAGAUUUUGGGGGCUGUCAUUAUGGAAUCGGCUUGUCGGGACUGCGCACAGGAGCCCUCUCCCAAAAACGGUACGGAAAGAUUUAAUUCCGGCUCGCCUGCGGCCGGAGUGAUCAACAGAACGAUGGUCGGGAAGGUACUCUCAUUGCCCGAUAUCAGGGGCGUGUGUUCGCCGGUGGGCAUAGUAGCGGGGAUUACUUCUUUGCCCCCCAAUACUGUUCCCUUGACCGCUGAGACGACUACUGAGGUCGGGUUUUCCGGCUCGCCUGCGGCGGGAGUGAUCAACGGAGCGAUGGUCGGGAAGUGUGUGCGCCGUCGUUCGACCAGAGCUUGUGUGAGGCUGAAAUCGGUGGGCAAUGUAUCGGCGCUUGACCGGGCCAAACUGAGGAAGGCUUUCCUGCUGGAAGGGGAGAUCAAUGGACCGAAGCCCGCAGUCGACUCUCGGAUCAUUAGAAAAGUUGUGAAGAAAAGUGCGCUUUGUGGAGUCAAGCUUUCGGGGGUGGAAGCCGAGGAGCUUCACAAGUUCUCGACGCGGGGUUGACCUGUAGUGGGCCUUCUUUUGUGUUUUGGGCCGCCUUUUGGUUGUGUGUCGCUUUUCUUAUGUUUAAUAUUAUUACUUGGAAUGUACGUGGUCUGAACGACUCAUGUAAGCGUCGUAGUGUUAGAGCUAUCAUCUCUAAACACGUUGGUUCGGUGAUUUGUAUCCAAGAAUCAAAAGUGGAUUCGGUGUCUCGUUCCUUUCUCCGGUCUUGUUGUGGCUCGAGUUUCGACAGAUGUCACUUUAUCCCCGCUCGGGGAGCAUCGGGCGGUUUAUUCACUUGUUGGAGCUCAAAAUUUUUCGUUUGUACGGAGGCGUUGGUGCGCGAUCACUCGCUCACUCUCAGCUUUAAUCAUAUUACUAGUGAUACGAGCUUUUACCUUACGAAUGUAUAUGGACCGCCAUCGUGGGAUGGGAAAGAAGAGUUCUGCGCCGAGCUACUCGCUAUCGGUGCGGUGUGUUCCGGAUAUAAAUGGGUUAUUUGUGGGGAUUUCAACUUUACUAGAAACCAGGCUGAACGCACUGGGAACCGGGGGAGCACUAAAGCGAUGUCAAUGUUCUCGGACCUCAUUUCAAAUCUCGAAGUCAUCGACCUGCCCUUGUCCAACCAAAAUUUUACUUGGUCUAAUAUGCAACGCUCACCAACCCUGGCCAAACUGGACAGAUUUCUUGUCUCGACAGAUUGGGAUCAAGGUUUCCCGCUCUGCAGGAUUUCCGCUCUACCUAGAAUUACCUCCGACCACACCCCUUUAAUACUCGAUACUGGAAGCUUGCGCACUAAGAGGACAUUUCGGUUUGAGAAAGUGUGGCUUACUAGGCCGGACUUCACAAACUACGUACCGAUCUGGUGGAACGAAGUACCCGGGCAGAGGUCAGCCAUUCUUACGCUGACAGCGAAGCUGAGACAUUGCAGAAACAGGAUGAAGGAAUGGUGCAAGACAAAAUUCCAUAGCAUAUCCAACGCAAUAAGAACUUUACAGGAAGAAAUUCGAAACAUUGAUCUCUCGGAGGAACGGAAUAUCUUGACCCAGGAAGUACGGGAUAAACGAGUUGAACUUAAAGCACAGCUCCNAUAAGAAAAAAAAAAAAAAAAAAACUUUUUGACAAGAAAUGGAAUAUAUACCCAACAUUCCAGCUACAUGUUGCAACCCCAUCCCUAUAUAUAUUUUGUCCUCUUUUAGGUAAACAUCAUUGUUCCCAGUAAGCUUUUACUUAACAACAAUAAUUUAGAUUUAUGUUCUUUUCUUUGGCAUUUUCUUGUGACAUGCACAUGGGUUCAAGCUGUACAAUUGGAAGCAUUCAUUAAUACAUUGCAUCUCACUCUUUUAACAUUGCCACCACCCUUAACAGGAGAAAAUAAAGGUAGAUUGAAAAAUACCUUUCUUGGUUCUAUUAAUAAGUAUUAAGUUUUUAAGGAUAGAAGAGAAUUUUUUAUUUUUUAUUUUUUCCUGGGAAAGGAAUGUAUAGGGGCCCAUGCCCUAUAUGUCCACAUAGCAUGAACAUGAGAUCGACUCGAGUUCUACGUGGUUGUAGACGAUGAGUUUGGACUAACUUUCUGAUCACUCGAGCUUUGAAACACGUAAUCUCAGAAAAUGCUUGUUUAGAGUUUGUCUGAGAUAUCAUACGAAACAAUAAUUUCUGUAAAAUCUUAAGCCGCAAAUAUCUUGUCGAAGCUCGUAGAUCGAUGUUGACCUCGAUCAUUUUUCUCCGAGAAUUCGCAAACAUUGAACAUCUUGGCAUGCCAGGAAACUAUCAUCCUAUGAUUAAAGAGAGGGAAUUGAGUAAUUUAACUCUAAAGUGAGAAAAAGACCACAUUGUUUCAUGCAUGAGAUAAACAUUGAAAUAUAUAUAUAUAUAUAUAUAUAUAUAUAUAUAUAUAUAUAUAUAUAUAUAUAUAUAUAUAUCUAGGAAAGAGCUUAAAACCUCAAUUUAUUUGAUUCAAACUACCAAAGUCCAUUAACCCAAAAUAAACACGGAAAAAAAAAGUCAUAAUUUUACUAUGAUGUGGAGGGGUCUGCAUGAAAUGAAACUCUCGUUAAGUUGCUGAACAUAGAGUACGUAGAUAUUUAAGAUGGAAAUCGAACCUACGACCUCACCUCAGAGAGCGAACGAAUUUAGAAAUAGUCUGAGCCCGUGACCCCGGCUGAACCAGAAAGAUCCAUUCAGCAGUACAUGUACAGUUGUGAUCUGAUGUUUCUGUGGUGUAGAGGAGAGUGAAAUUAAGUUUUUUUUUGUUUGGUUGUUGAUGAGCUGCUCCUUGAACAAGGAAAAACACAAGAUUGUACUGCCAAAAGCAUCUGUUUCUUUAUUACAUACUCUUUCGAUUGCGGUUGUUAUCAUAAUUUUACAGCACAGAAGAAGAGAAAGUUUUCUUUUUUUUAGAAUAGCUAGGUAGCACGCUACCUGCUUCAUUAUUCAUUGAAAGGAUGAAUUAGGUUACAAGGAUGAGGCAGUCAGGGCCUCGAGGAAGAAAACACCAGACAGUACUUGAAAAAAAAAGAAAAAAGAAAAAGUAAGCGCUUUUAAAGCUUCGGGACCAUCCAAAGUAUAAAAGUAAGCGCUUUCGACGAUGUUCGCUCUAAACAAGGCCAAAAGCUUCGUUUGGAUUGCGGAGAAAUUGCAUCAUGUAUUGUGAGAAAGAAUUUGUACAUAAUAUUACAUUUUGUAUAUCGUAAUACGUCGAUUACGAUAUAUUUUCUGCGGUCUCAACGAGAAAUAUAGAAGUCCAAUUUUAUUUAUCUAUCCAGCAUGCAUUAAAUGGAUUUCAUUGCCAAAUGGGCUUAAGUCUACUAGCACUUGAUGUAUUUGCUCUUCUCUCUUUUGUCCCCUUUUGUAGUCCUUAAUUUAUCUGGUUAUUCAUGAAAAAUAACUUUCUAAAAUUAAAAAAAAAAUUUCUCAAGCAACACUAAUUAUCAGCAUCAUUCUUAUUAUUUCCAUCACGUCAAUCUUUAAGGGCAUGUUUGGUUUAUGGUACUUUUUAAGAUGCAUGAGAUUGAGAGGUUGAAAUUGUAAAAUUUUAUAUUUAUUUUAUCACAAAAUCUGAGUUUGCAAAAAAUUAAAGACUUUUAUGAAAUUUUAUAAUCCCUUAAAACGGAAGAUUUGAAAACUCACCUUUUUCCUUGAUAAUAUACCUUUUUUGCUAUUUUUUUUAUCUAUUCCAUAAUUUUAAAUGGAGUAUAAGAGAGAAAAAAAUUAUGAAUUCCCGAAAUUUAUAAAUAUUUAAAUAUAUUUCAUAUAUUUAAGCAGGUAUGAUUUUUAUAUGAUUAAUUUGGUGUAAAAUGAUAUGUAUAUAUAAUAUUAGUCUCUAGAAAAAAGAAUAUUAGGGUAAUUUUAUUGAUGUAGUUUGACAAUUUUUAUAUUCAACCAAACACAAAAAUAAAAUAUUCCUGAGCAUUUUAAGAUUUAUAUCAAAUAAAAAUAUUUAUACAUAAUACAAAUUUUAUCAUAAAAAUAAAUUUUCAAAAAUAAAAUUAAUUUCCAGUAAAAUAAAUAUUAAACUCCUCAUGGGAACCAAACAUGCCCCAAACGCUAACGAAUCUCUGCAAAUAGUGAUGAAAAUUCAUGUGUUUUUCAAUUAAUUUUAAAAAAGUUUACAUAAUUAUCAAUAAAUUUCGCGGGGGUAUAGCUUUUCAGAAAAGAAAAAUUCUAUUUGUACAUUCCAGAAAGUGAGUAUAGAUCUUACACUCUUCAUCAUAAAGUUGAUAAAAAUCUAAAUAUUUUUUAGUAAAAAUAAAAAAAAUUGAUUUGAUAAAUAAAAUUUUAAUUGCUUUUAGAUGGAGUGGGUGUGAGACCUGUAGCAUUGCUCUUCAGAAAAGGGUAAGAGAGGUGGUAAAUUUUCCACAGGAUGAGGCCACCUCAGCAGCAACCCAAUCCACAUGUGAGGCCCUGCUUUGUCAAAUAGAAAACAACUUGUAACAGUGAAACCAGAACACAAAAGAACAUGCUGGUGCAGUGUGUUAAGAGCUCCAUUAUUAUCCCAUCCUCUGAGCUCUCAUCUCUCCUCCUCUUGAGGAGAAGAGGGAGGAGGGAGUUGCAACAGCCCACAUGGGCAAAGAGACCAAAUAGUGCAGGUGCAGGUGAAGGUGAAGCUGCAGGUGCAGGUGCAGGUGCAGGUGAAGGUGAUGGAGAGAAACCCACCUCCUCUCUUAGGGUUUCCAAGGCCUUCCUUGCUAGGUGUGCUGUUGCUGUUUCUGGCCUUGGGUUUCUUGAUGCUGGGUAAAGUCCUCUAGAUUUCUUAUACUAAUUUGUUUCUGUUAGAGAUCGUUUGGUUCACGAUUUAUAAUAUUCUGAUCACCCUUCCUAUUUUUUAUCUUAUCUUAAAUAUUAAAAAUUAUUAUUAUUGGAUUCAAGUUGGAUAGCUGUAAAAAAUAUUGGUGAAGUAAUAGAACCAUUAUAGAUUUCGUUGGUUAUGAGAUAUUCUUAUUUUCAUGCUUCAUGAGAAUCAUUAGUAGUUUAUUAAUAAAAACAUACUAAUUUUAAUAAUUUUUCAAUUUAAGUAACUUAAUAAGUUUUUUUUUGAGAGAAGAGUAACAACACACUACCUGCUUUAUUCAUUAAGUAAAUAAAUUUAGCUACAUGUAGUGAGGCAGCCAGGGCCUCAAAAAUACAGAGACCGGCUAAAAAGGCAACUAAAAAAAGAAGAGUACAAAAUGUUGAGCAAAGUAACUUAAUAAGUUAGUAAUAAAUUUACCAUUCCAAAUAUAAUAUAUACAAUAUUUUCUAAAUAGUACAAAAUCUUGAACCAAACAAUCCUUUAUAUUAUAUAGUAAUAUUUUCACUGGGAAUGAUUUAAUGGAGCUUUUGUUUUUUCCCCCUCUUUUUUUAUUUUGAAUGUCAGUUAUGAAGUAUGUAGUCAGCCAGGGCCUGAAAGGAAUGGGGUGGCAGGAGUGUGCAUUGAAGGGAUUCAAAUUUGAGAUUAUUUUUAGGAAUUGUUUUCUUUUAGGACAUGUUUGGUUCGUACAUUUUGGAUCCGAAAUAAGAAUCGGUUUGAUCAAAUCCUGCUAAUUUUGUUUGGUUCACAGGAAUCUGUUUGAGACUCCCAUUCUGGAUCGGUAUGGGAAUGGUCUAUUAGCUUACAAAUUGAUUCCAGCCUCCAUUCCCGGAUUGAAGUUUCAAUUCUAAGCCCACACUCACCUCUUCCUCAGGCCCAGCCCAACAUUUCUCCAUCUUAUCCAUCCUUCUUACUCUCCCUAUACCAAUCUCUUCUCUCUUUUCUCAUCAUUAAAAAAAAAAAGGGCAUUUUUUUGUAAUUUCUUGCAUAAAAAUUUUUAAAAUAAAUUCAAACUUUUUUGGCAUAACUCUAACUUGAGAGUAGUAUUAAUUUUUUUUUAUAAAUUUUAGAUAGUUUUAUAAAAUUAUAUUUAAAAGUAAAAUUAGCAUUAUUCUAUUAUUUUUUUUUACUUUGUAUCAACCAAACAGUGAAAUAGAAAUAAUUCAUUCCGAUUUCCAAUCGAAAAAUGAACCAAACAUCUUGGGAGGAGUGGGGCAAUCCAAUUGCCAAUUUGCCAUUCCAAUUCAUUCUCAUUUUAUUAUUCAUUCCAAUUCCACUCUUGAACCAAGCAAGCCCUUAGUUUAGUUUGGUAAGAGAAAGCAAGGGAAAUUGGGAAAUGCGCUUUGAAAGUUUAGUCCUUUCAGCGUAGAAAACCAGUUAUGUUGCAAUUUUUGCCUAGUAAAAAAACAAAAAAAACCUUUCAAUGCACAGUUCAGCUUGCUUCCUGAUAGAAGUGCAUCAAAGAUUAAAAAAAAUAUAUAUACUUACAUCUUCCAUUAUGCCAUUGUUGGAUGGUGAUGUAGUGCUGUAUCCACAACCCAUUUACAUGUAUGUCAAACAAAAAACAACUUGCCCACAUACCAGAUUCAUAAUUAAUUGCAGAUACACACCAAACCACUAGAGGCUAGUGAUAAAUAUUUGAACACCGAUACUGAGGUUGGAGAUUCAAGGUAUCUUAUGUGCUUAAAUUUGGAGCUUACCUCUCUAGCUUUGCGUUUAAUGUAUAUAGGGUACGAGAACUACGGAGUAGAUAAAAAAAAAAAAAAAAGGAAAGAAAAAAAGAAGUUUCCAUGUUCAGUUCCUUUUGGAAGUGAAGGUCUGGACAUUUGAAAAUUUUACUUGCUCUCGAAAAUAUAACAAGUAAUUCCUUAAUUUACAAGGUUUUGAUUUGUUGGUUUUAAAUUUAUCCAGGUACAGUGGAGACUGGUCCCGAAUUGGUGUCAUUUCAAAAGAGGACGAAGAAUUGUUGAGGUUCGCUGCAUUCCUGAUAAUCCCAUUGUGCAUAGUUCUGAUAUUUUCAAUUUCUGAAGAAAAUAAUACUCCGUAAUUGAAAUAGCUUGUUAUGUAUCGUAAAAAUCUAUGCAUCCCUACCAAUUUCUUUCAUCGAAAUUCUCUGGAAAGCUUUUUCCUUGCUGAAGUUAAAAGCAGAACUGUGAACCUUUUAGUUAGCCAAUUAUGUCAUUUUUAAUUCUCUAAUAAAGAAGUUGUUAUAGUAUAACGCUCCAAUAGUUUCAUAUUGGAUUAAAAAAUAAUUCUGAUUGAAAUAUAUGAAAUCUCGCACGUUAAUAAUAACAAUAACCGGACUUAAAUAUUUUGAGCCGGUGAUUUGAGCCUAAUAAGUUAUUAUUGCUUGCGGGUCAGAUCGUUUCAUAUAAAAGCUAUGCAAGAAAGGCACAUAAGUUAUCACAAACGAAAGGUCGCUUUGGAGUCACAAAAAUAACACUCCAUUUCCAUAAGGUUGGAAGAUCACUUCAUCCAGGAUAUGAAUAGUUAUGUCAGAUCUGCAGUAUAAGCAGGCCACUAAUUUUACAUUUUCCGAAAUGUUAUUGGUAUGCAAAAUAAUUAUCGGGGAAGGAAGGUCUGCUAAAGAGUAUUGGAUAUCUUAUCGCAGAAGGAUUGAAGGAAGGUCUGCUAAAGAGUUUUGGAUAUCCCCCCAAAGUUUACAGAUGUUGACACUACGAAAAAGUGGGGGACAAUUAGACUAGUGUGGAAACAAAAACUUCAAAUCAAAUUUGAAAGUGUGAUAACCGGAAAUAGAACAUUUUACAAUAUGAUAACAAGUCGAGAGCAGUUAACUAUAACGGAGUUAGAAGAGCAAAAACUAUAUCUCGAUGUGGUUCUAUAAGCUGCACACGUCUUAUGCAUCGACACUCAAUGCAUAUAUUCUGUCAAUGAAAAUUUAGAUAUUCUUCUUGCGAAUCAAGAUUUGAGAGUCGGUCGAGAGUGUUACACUCGUUAACUCUGCUAUCUGUGGUUCUCUUUUAUCGGACUCAAGGAGGGAUUCGUUUACAAAUAUUUUUGUUGCAUUUGUUAACAACCCUACACCAGAAUCGAUCAAACAGUAAAUUUCUUCGAAUUGAUAUAGAACACAAUGUCAUUCAGAUGUCAAGGAAUAGUACGCAAUUCAAAAUUUUUGCGGAACCCAAAUCAGCAACUUCACACUCCUCAGGCAAUACAUAAUGGGUUCAUGCAUCUGAAUUUAACAAACUUUGCACCAAACUGGGUUGUAAUUUUAGAUUGAUUACAAGGAUAAUACGAAUCAAUUAAUACAUAAUGGGUUCUACGCACACCAAGAUAACUGAUUCCAAAUUGUUCUCUCUUAUUCAUGCAUUCAUUCACUUCACACAUUUAAGUAUAGAAAAGAACAGAACAAACACCACAAAAGCAAAUACCAAAUGAGCAGAGAACGAACACAGAGGCAAAAGCACAAACACCUUACCUGCAGAUGCGAAAUCCUAGUGCUUCUUCAAGAACCCUUGGGCGA
This 55127-nucleotide long non-coding RNA is filed under the name Ananas comosus (pineapple). RNAcentral describes it as "long non-coding RNA (ACOM_LNC022954)". Lineage: Eukaryota; Viridiplantae; Streptophyta; Magnoliopsida; Poales; Bromeliaceae. The record is from RNAcentral.